Molecule: long non-coding RNA, 82230 nt
Filed under: Eucalyptus grandis
Lineage: Eukaryota; Viridiplantae; Streptophyta; Magnoliopsida; Myrtales; Myrtaceae
Description: long non-coding RNA (EGRA_LNC004776)
Source: RNAcentral
CGCUCUCAAAACCUUUGGCAGUGUCUUCCACAUAAACAAUCUUCCCCUCUUUGAUCUGAGGCAAUACCAUCUCCAGGAACUUCGGGUAGAGAUGAUAGUAAUCGAACACCAAGAAACCUUCCAUUCUAAUCCGCUUCAGGACAAGGUUCAUCAAGUUGUGUACACCUUCGGGCUGCUCGAGAUUGUACUGUGAGAUCAUUCCACAUACCGCGAUUCGGCCAUGAAGUUUCAUGUUGAGCAGCACCGCAUCGAGCAUCUUUCCACCAACAUUUUCAAAGUAGAUAUCGAUACCCUCAGGUAAGCAUCUAAUCAUUUACAACACAAAAAGUCAAAUGGAGUUGGCUUCAGGAAUGGGUACAUAUUUUAUUUGCUUAAUCAUCAUUGUUAUACCAUAGCUCACCUUUUCAGUGCUGCAUCCAGAUCCGGUUCCUCCUUGUAGUUGAAAGCAUCAUCAAAUCUAAACUUGUUCUUCAGCAAAUCGACCUUUUUCGCAAAAUAGCAGCAAAAAGAACUUUUAAUAGAAUGAAAUUCGGAAGAGAACAGUAAGACUGUAGUUAGUGAAAUGAUGAUGAUGGUAUGUAUACAUUCAACAGUGCCAUCACUCUUGAGCAUUCUCAAAUUUAAGAAAGCCAGCACUCAUCAACCGUGAUAUGAUUACCUUCUCUUUGCUACCAGCGCUGCCAACAACAUAACAACCAAACAACUUUGCAAACUGGCCAACGAGCUGACCGACGGCUCCUGAUGCUGCCGAUAUGAAAACAGUCUCUCCUUUCUUAGGAGAGCAUACCUCGAAAAACCCGGCAUAAGCUGUCAUGCCAGGCAUACCUGCCAAGUUUAAAUUUGUAGCAAUUAGACAAGUCACAGGAUUUGCUGAAGCAUACGUGUAGGAGUGGUUAUGCUAUGGGAAAAUCUCAAAUGGUCCGAUUAUUGCCCAAAGGUGAAGCCCGAGAGAAAUGUAUUGACUUCCCAAGGAAAGCUACUAUUUCCCUAGAAAUAACUGAUUUACAUGCUUCUUUCAAAGCAAGAAGACAGCUUUGAAUUAUUGGCCCUGUCAUUCAAACAAUUCAACGAGGCCAGGAGGCUCAUCAACAAUGAAAAUCCCUACAAGUGAUAUCUUAACUAUCUGAUUCACCUUAUUCAUUAACUAUAGAGAGACAUUAAAGUUGAUGAUUAUAGAGCAUACCCAAAAGGCCAGUGUAGUAAGACAGAGGAACAUCAGUGUGUUCAAUCUUAAAGCAAGUCUCUGGUGCAGUAAUUAUACUAUACUCCUCCCAUCCAGUGAAACCCCAAAGCAAGUCGCCUUUCUUGAAGUUUGGAUGCCCAGAUUCCAAAACUCUAGCUACUCCAUAUCCAGUGAUAGGCUGCAUCGAUGUGUUAAAUACUUCAAAUAUAAGUGCAAAUAGUUUAGCAAACAAAAAUAGACAUCGUACUUCCAAGAAGGAAUGAUAAGACAAUUUCAUAAUCAGAUGCGCUACAGUAACUGAGACCCUUUCACUUUAACCUUUUCUCUGAUAUAAAAAAGUUUGCAACUUGUGUUAUAUUGAAGUAAGGUAAGUCAAAAUGCAGCUUUCUUAACACUUAAUAUAGCUUCCAACAAACCUAGAAGAAGAGCGGCAUAAUUUUAAUAUCUCAGCAGGAAUAAAAUUGAAAUCCAAAGUAAUACAUUGGAAUCCUAUGCAAUAUGCUAAAGGAUGCGACCAAAACUCUGCUUAUCCUAGAGUCAUGUUUAUUUUAUAUUUCAAUGAAUACAUCUCAUCGUCCUGUUUCACGUGCACGCUAUCGGUCACCAUUUGUCAUGCUUACACAUGAGUGGGAGUGUUAAGCAACUUGCAUCACUUUACCCUGUGAUUAUGUGGACUUUGUAAUCACAAGACAUGUAAAAUUCCUUUGCCAAAUAGCACAAGUGACGCUCUUUCGACACCCUAAGCUCUUCAAUCAUUUGCCGAAUCUCAUACCGACAUCGCAAACCAUUUCUACACUUUCAAAGCCACCACCAAUUGGCUCACAAAAGAUUUAGCCAUGAUAUUGGGGAAAAAAAAAAGAAUAGACAUACAGCACAGAGUCGCCAAAUCCUUUGAUUCAAAUGAUUGGACAUAAUCAGAACUAAUGCUUGGCAAGUCCUCGUAUAUUAAUUUAGCCAAACCUGAGAUCAUGAUCCAACACUCAGGAAAACUAAUAUAAUAACCGCCGCCUUAAAACAACAUAAGCAAUCCCCAGAGCAAACUGGUCAAAAUUGAAAAGGACAGCAAUAUCAUACUCAAAAAAAUCCACAUCAUCCGACAUCCGGAGCUUAUUUUAUUCACUAAUUUCCCAUUUCAACUACGAGGAAGACGAGUUUGGCUCUCGAGUGGAUGACCCCCUUUUCUCUUUCUAUACUCUUUUGGAGAAAAGACAAAACUUGACACGAAAGGAGUAUUGAGGGGCUUGCUCACCGAACCAGGUUUGAAGGAAUCGACGUAACCCGGGACGUCGAGCUUCUCCAUGCGGUUCCUCAUGUAAGGAUCGCAGGACAAGUAGAGAUUUUUCACGAGGAGGCCGCUCGAGCCCUCCGGGAGGCGCAGCUUCGUGGUCGAUUCCCGCACCUCCAUGUCCGUCUCCUUGGGGAACCCGCUCACGAAGUCCCUGAAUAUCACUUGCUUGUUCCUCACUACCUCCCCAUCCUCACUCGCCAUCGCUCCUCGCUACUCCUUUCGACGAAACUCGAGAUACCCAGAAGAGAUAAGACGAGCGGGCGUGGAGGGUGUGAAUUCAGUACCCUUUUUAUCGACCGGGCCGGGCGCGGAACGCGUGGAGGGGCCUCGCGGGGGCAGAAAAAUGCGACCUUUCGUCUGGCGUUUUUUCGCCUCAGAGACGUACGUAGGAUGGCGUGGCAGCGAGGGCGAGAUGGUUCUGGAGAUGCUCCGCGAGGAAGACGACAACGUACGGGGGUGUUGGCAUCACGCUUUCCUCGUAUGCAUCGGGUCGGUUUUUGGAGCGGAUCGAUCGGUCGGUCAUUCAUGACAACGCCGCUCCCUUGGUUGACUUGGUGGGUCUUCUUUUCGUCGUCCUGUCGAAUAUUGUGGCCGAAAAUGAUCGUGACCCUUCCCACGUUUUCUACAACCCAGAGGAAACGUGAAUGAUUUUCCGAGGGUUAAAAUGAUUAAACUAAGGAAAAAUAUUUUUAAAGAUAAAUGCAUUAAAAGUUCUAAAAUUUAUUACAAAAAUUCAAUCAAGUAUUAAAACUUAUCACAAAAGUUCAAUCAAAUUUUAAAACUUGUCUCGAAAGUACAAUUAAAUUCUAAAAUUUUCAAAAAACGCAAUUAAUAAAAAGAUUUAGAUUGGAUUAAUUUGAUAAAUUUUAGAAUUUGAUUAUAUUUUUUUGAAAGUUUUAUGAUUUAAUUGUAUUUUUGUGACAAGUUUUAUGACUUAAUUAUAUUUUUUUUGGAAAUUUUAGAACUCAAUUACAUUUUCAAUUUUUUUUUAGGAUUUCCAAUAUACUUACCCCGAUAUUUUUUGAAUCACUAUUUUUGGCGAGAUAAAUGGAAUGUAAAAGCAUGCACAAGAAUCGCGGACAGAGUGAUUUCAUGAGCUUGUUGCAUCUCUAAUUCAUUUGAAUAUGUUUCUGCCCUUGCUGGAGUUCGACCCCAAUCGAGGAAAAAAGAGUGUCGUCCUUCCUUUCUAGCGCGCUAGAUUCAUUCCAUUGUUGGGAAACUUCGACCGUUCAAUGUGAACUUUGCCAGCAGGCAGCAGCGCAUUCCUAUGUGCAGGUGUGGGGAAGAGACAAGCGGGGAAGUUUAUGUUGAUUGCGGCUUGAAGUUAAUUCCUAUUGUUUUUUAAAUUCGAUUUAUAAUUGAAUCGCAGUCCAAACGAGGCUCUUGCCAGCGGAAUUGUGGGUGAUGCAAAAAAGGUGAUUAAUUUCGCAGAACACUUCUUUUCCUUGAUGAAGAUGAAGUCCGUGUUGACGCCAGAGAAGUGCUCAUAAUUUUUGACAAUGUAAGUAUCCUCUUGUUGAGUUUGAUCUGCUUUGCCUAGUAAAUGCGCUCAAUUACGUGAAAUUGCGAGAAACACAGAGAGUGUUGAGUGCGGUCAUCCAAAAGAGUUGAGAAUGUGACAAAAUUCCUUUCUUGCGAUUGAUUUUUGUGGGUUCGAGUUUAAUCUAGGACUAGAAGUCACUUACGAAAAAUGGUGAUUGUGCUAUUAUAGUCUUAUCUUGGACUUCUACGAAGUAUGAGUUGGAAAAUUUUACUAGGAGAAAUUACUUUUUAAGGAGUGGCGCUUUAAGAUGCGUGCUUUGCUGGAAACAGAAAGUUUCACUAGAUUAAGAAAACUAAAGGAAAGGCUGACAUAUUGAAAAAGCUAGGGUUAUUAUUCUGCUGGUAAUAGGGGACGACGUUCUGUUUUAAGAGGCAAAUGAGACGAGUGCGGCUGUAAUUUGGAUGAACCUUGAUGCGCUGUAUAUGUGGAAAUCGCUCUCAAAGAAACUUUUCCUGAUACAAUGUUCCUUCACUUUCAACCUGGGAUUGCCUCUAUGAGUUUAAUAGUCAUUUUUGAUCUGAAAAAUGUGGAGGAAGAGGCAUCUGAUCAAUGGCAGGCUAUGGUGCUACUUUGUUCUUUGCCCAGCUCUUACGAGCAUUGUUGUCUGUCAAAUGAGGAGUGAGAGUGAGAGCGCAUCUGUUGAGGAGUUGAAGUCUGCACUAUUGGGGGCGGUGCAGUGUUUAUCGCAACAGCAUUGAGUGCAUUGACUCAGUACAGAUCAGGAUGCAUGACGGGAUCAUCAGAGCUUUGUGAGAUGUUCAAAAUUUCUGGAACUGAGGAAGAAUCUGAUUUCUAUUGGUACGUUGGAUUCUCCAGGUUGUCAGUAAACUUAUCAAAGGUGCAAUCGUGGUCAUGAAGGGCAAGCGAACAAGCGGUCCCCAUUAUCUUCAGGUUAGAUAGACACAUGUUCAGCAACUACAGUUUCAUCCAUGUUGUCAAACUCAAAUUAGACAAGUUUGUGCCACAUGAGACUGGGCACAUAACUAAGAGACGUAUGAACACUAUGAGUGAGCAAAGUCUUUUAUGUGGGUUGAAAACCGAGAAGUAGGACUUUUGCGAAUAUUGCGUGUUUGACAAGCAACACAGAGCGAAGUUCAAGACGGCAGUUCAGACCAAGGAUACAAUGGUUACUUCCAUUCAGACUUGUGGGGACCUUCUCAGGUGCAAUCUAAAGGAGGUGUCAGGCACGUGGUAACCUACUUUAGCCCAGAAGUCUCGCUUUACUCUCUAAAGCAUAUUAAUUGGGCUUUUGUAUGUUUUAAGCAGUUCAAGCUUUUGAUAGACAACAGGUAGAGUUCUGUUCUCAUGAGUUUGACAAGUUAUGUAGAGAAAACAGAACUGACAGGCAUGGCACCGUGCCUGAAACACCAGAGUAAAAAGGAGUUGCAGCAUGAAUGAACAAGACUUUGCUCGAGGGAACCUGAUAUUUGCUGUUGAAGGCUGCAUUGUCACAAGAUUUCUAGGCUGAGGCCGUCAACUUGGCAUAUCACUUGAUUAACAUAUCUCCAGCAUUUGUCGUGUUCCGAAUUCUAGAGGAUGCAUGAACUAAUCAACCUGCUGAUUACUUGAGCCUGAGAGUGUUUGGACGCCCUGCUUAUGUUCAUGCUAGGGAGGCAAAAAGGAGUACAUAUUCCUAGCCUAUGCACCAGAGGUGAAAGUUUAAAGGCUGUGGUGUUCAGACCCUAAAUCACCGAGAUUCAUCAUCAACAGAGAUGUCACCUUCGAUAAAUCAACGAGGCUCCAGAGUAGCAAGGAGACCCAUGCUGUAAAAAGGGAACAUGGAUAUCAAGUAAUGAGUUUGAGAUGAAAGAUUUAGGUUUAGCCAAAAAUAUAGUUGGUAUGCAGUUUGAAAGAGAGAGAAGUCAGGAACGUUUCAGCUAUCACUGGGUGAUUGCAUACGUGAAGUCCGGAGGCAGUUUAGCAUGUGGAACGCCAAGCUAUAAGUGCCCCACUAGUUGCGCAUUUUAAGCUGACUCAUUCACGAGAAACCACAACCACCUGUUUCCCGACAUUGCGACCAGAGAACACCCCGACGAGAGCUGCUGGACUGCUCUCGAGCCCUUCCGCGAUGUCUUCCGUGUACACAAUCUUCCCCUCUUUGAUCUGAGGCAAUACUGUCUCCAGGAACUUCGGGUAGAGAUGUUGGUAAUUGGACACCACAAAACCUUCCAUCCGAACCCGCUUCAGGAUAAGGUUCAUCAAGUUGUGUAUGCCUUCGCGCUGCUGGAGGUUGUACUGUGAGAUCAUUCCGCAUACUGUGAUUCGGCCAUGAAGUUUCAUAUUGAGCAGCACCGCAUCAAGCAUUUUUCCCCCAACAUUUUCGAAGUAGAUAUCGAUCCCCUCAGGGCAGCAUCUAAACAUUUAAGACAAUGGGUACAAAUUUAAUAUCCUGCACACCAAUCAUCGUUAUUGUGUUCCAGGCUCACCUUUUCAGUGCUGCAUCCAGAUCCAGCUCCUCCUUGUAGUUGAAAGCAUCAUCAAAUCCAAAUUUGGUCUUCAGCAAAUCAACCUUUUUCACAAACAUAACAGCAAGAGAGAACUUUAAGUAAGAUGAAAUCCAGAAGAGACUAGAAAGACUGUAUUUUUAGCAAUUAUGUUUAGUGAAAUGAUGAGGGUACACAUUCAACACUGCCAUCAGUCUCUUGAGCAUUCUCAAAUUUGAGACAUACAGCACUCAUAAUAUCUCAAGUGCUUCUUUUAGAUCUAAUUCUAUUUGAGUUGACUACAGGAACAUGCACUCUAUUUCAGACGCUUGUCUAGUCACUCAUCAUGAAACAACAGUGAAAAUUGCAGAUGCCAACCAUGCUUGGUGAACCAUUAACAUCGACACAAUUAUGUGCUUCUUUCAACACUAGACAAAUGUGGGAUGAUUACCUUCUCUUUGCUACCGGUGCUGCCAACAACAUAGCAACCAAACAUCUUUGCGAACUGACCAACAAGCAGACCAACGGCUCCCGCUGCCGCUGAUAUGAAAACUGUCUCUCCUUUCUUAGGAGAGCUUACCUCAAAAAACCCGGCAUAAGCUGUCAUGCCUGGCAUUCCUGGAAAGUAUACAUUUGUUGAAAUUAGACGAGUCACAGAUUUGCUGAAGCAUAAGAGUAGGAGUGUUAUGUUAUAGCAAAAUCUCAAAUGAUCUGAUUAAUUGACCGAAGGUGAUGCCCCUGACAAAUGGAUGAGAAAUAAUCAGUUUACACACUUCUCUCAACACAAAAGAUAGCUUGGCAGGGCUCUAUUGUUGAGACAAUUCAACGAGAGCAUACGGCUUAUUAACCAGGAAGAUCCCUACAAGUAAAAUUCAAAGGAAGCACGCUUUUUCCUUGCAUAGCUAGAGGCUGUCCGUACUUGAGAAUGAAACAGAUAGAACAAAGUAUCUUGGCAAUCCCAUUACCCUCAUUCUUUAACACUGAAAGAGAUAUUACACACGCUUUUUCCUUGCAUAGCUAGAGGCUGUCCGUACUUGAGAAUGAAACAGAUAGAACAAAGUAUCUUGGCAAUCCCAUUACCCUCAUUCUUUAACACUGAAAGAGAUAUUACACUAGAUGAUCAAAGAGCAUACCCAAAAGGCCGGUGUAGUAAGACAGAGGAACAUUGGUGUGUUUGAUCUUAAAGCAAGUCUCUGGCGCAGUAAUUAUACUAUACUCCUCCCAUCCAGUGAUGCCCCAAACCAAGUCACCUUUCUUGAAGUUUGGAUGCCUGGAUUCCAAAACUCUAGCUACUCCAUAUCCAGUAACAGGCUGCAUCAAUGUGUUACAUACUUCAGAAUAUAAGUGCAAAUAGAUUUAGCAAACACGAAUAGACAUUGAACUAACAAAAAGGAAAGAGUUUGUUUCAUUUGAAUUUUACUUGUCGAGUGGACUUGUCACAAAUUUGAGCUUGAUUUAUUCAUGCGAGUUCAUAACUUACUGUUGGGAUCAUGAAUGAGUAAAUGCAGCGAAAGAGGUGAUUGCACUUACAGAACCAAGCUGAGUGAGGUACUUGAUGAUGGUGAGAUUGUAGGGAUCGCAAGCCAGGUACAAGUUUUUCACGAAUAUGGUCCCCAGACCGGAGUUGGCCUUCAAUCGCUCCGAACUCGUCCUCAUUUCCAAGUUGGUCUCUUUCAAGAAACCUCGUACCUGCUCUCUGUAUAUAACCUGUUUGUUGCUCAUCACUUCCACUGAAGCAUCGUUGUUCUCCUUCUCCAUCGCCUUUCUCUCUCUUCUUGGAUUUGAUUGGUUAGAAACAUAGCCGAACAGUGCACUUGUAUUUAUAGGGAGAUGGGUGAUGAGAUAUGCAGACAUUCCUUCCGUGUGCUCGUGUCGUCGGCGUGUAUGUUUGCGUGUGCCUUUGUGUCGUCAGUGGAAGUAUUAUUCCAAUCCCUUGGGAAAAAGAAGUCGAUCAAAGUGGCCAAUUGAAUUCUAAUAAUUAGCUUGACCAAAAACAAAUUCUAAUCAUUAGAAAAUGAUCUGAUUUGCAGUAAAAUUUUAAGAAAUCUUUUAUGUGGUAAGGAAGAAUUUGAAGAGAUAUUUUGUACUAGCAUCACCAAUAGCCACAAAAAAUUCCUUUCUUCAGCACAAGCGCAAAUUGCCAAGCAAAACCCAAAUCUCUCUCACGAAAAUGUGUGGCUGAGGGUUGACCUUCCAUAUUGCAAGGUAAUGGGAUGGUUAGCCAAACAUUUUCCAAUAUAAAAUCCUUCCUUUUGAAGAAUUAAGGUAUGCACAUCACCAGUUUUCCCAUUCCACACAUCCCUGACCUCCCUGACUUGAAUCGAGUGUAAUAAUGUGAGGAUGUAGUGGGGUGGUGAAAAUGGUAAUCAUUGAUUGAAAAAACAAAUGAUGAAUGAAUGAGCUUAUAUGUGUCGGCCUAAAAAUUCUGAUCUAGACUUAUCCAUGAUUGGAAAAGAUUAAAAAAUGCUGUUUAUUUAAAUUGAUCGUGUCUGAACAAGCCUACCUAAACCUAACUGAGCCAAAUCUGAAAAGGAAACGGCUUAAUUAGACUUGCCCAUUUUCCGAUUUAGGCCCAUACAGUCCAUGGUCACUUCAACAACAAAGGUGCGAUAAGGAGUCUUUAUUUUUAGUCGACUUUGGAAUCUACCUCCCUCUUUUAAUAUUCGAAAUUUUGAGAUGUCGUGCCAUGAAAUCUCUCUGCUAUUGGACCGCUCAAAUAUGAUGAUGGAGGCUUGCUUGGCAUCCGUUGCUCUUACUUCACUUCACUAGUAGGCCUCCACAUAAUUUGCAGUAUUCUCGAUAAUUUGCAGUAUUCUCGAUAACUUAAUAAUCUGCUUAUUGAUGUAAUUCUUUAGCUAGUCGUCGCUUUGCAUUUGGAUCGCUAACUUUGGACGCCAAGUAAGCGAAAUCUAUAUAUGUUCCACCAUUCUUAAACUCACAAAUCUAUUUAUUUUAUUUCUUUGAUUGAGUGACGUAAUAUCAGUUAUUUGUUAGACUAAUUUGGUAAUUUUUUCCCUUUAUAUCAUUUGCACUAACGUUUCUUAGAGUGGACAAUGUGACACCAGGUAAAGCAAAAUAAACUAGAGUCAUUCUUAUUCUAAUAUCAAAUUAAAUUCUCUCGCCAAUUUGAAAUUGUUAUUGCUGUUGUACUCGAUGAAUUUUAUUCUUCAUUUUGCUUGUCCCUUUAAUUAAGGCUUACACUAUUUUGAGAAAAGUACACCAAAAAAAUAAUAAUCCUAAUCCUAUGAUAUUGCUACUAAUUUAGUUUUAAACCUUUUAAUUAGAUCAAUUACAUAUUAAUCAUUUUCACAUUAAUACCAAUUCAGUCUAUUCAAUCAAUUUUGGCCGGUUGAUGCUGAUGUGGACGAUGGCCGUCCAGCCAAUGUUAACAUGAUAAUUUUUAAUAAUUUUGUCCUUUUUCUUUUUGUUUUCCUUUUUUUUUCCUCUUCUUUCUCCUUGGAUUCCUUGCAAUGGCCGACGAGGGUCGCCUAGCCUUCGCUGCCUGUUGAUGAGGGUCAUGGCCGUCACCCAGGACUGUGAGCGAGGUGGCUUCAGCCAAAUCUAGUGGAGGCUAGGGCAAGGCUGGUAGCCUCGCUUGUGGCCCUGGGUAAGGCCGAGCGUGGUUCGUGAAGCUCUCAUCCAAUGGUUGACUAGCCGCUGGAGACUUGUCGCCAUUGCUGGAGAAGAAGGGCAAAGGAAAAAGAAAAGGAAAAGGGAAAAGAAAAAAGAAAAAGAAAAGAAAAGAAAAAAAUCAAUAAAAAAUUUCGAAAAAAUAAAAAAAUAUUUAAAAAUUGCCACAACAGUAUUCUUCGUCUACUCGGUAUCUAGUCAGUACCGACUGGCCAAAUUUGGUGGGAUGAACUAAAUUGAUACAAAUGUGAAAAUAUUUAUGAUUAAUUGGUCAAAUUAAAAGGUGUAGGACUGAAUUAGUACAAAUACCACAUGUUUAUGAAUUUUUUUUAGUGCUUUUACCAAUCAUUUCUAUCCCCUUACUAUUUCUUGACACUUUCUUCUACAUUGAAUUGAUUGCAUUAUCCUUAUGGAUCCCACUUUUGAUUUAAGAUUAUUUAUUGCCUAUGAUUUUGUUGGUUUUCUUUUGUUUCAAUUUUUCUAGUGACCGAACUACUCAUUUUCCCACGCCCUGCAAGAGCCGAUGGCAAAAGUCUGAGAGUGAGUGUAGAGUAAGAAUAGAGUAGGACUGACAAAAAAAAAAAAAAACUACUAAUUCUCCUCUCAAAUGGCAUUUAUUUAAGUGAGUUGUGGGGUCCACUCUUGGUUUUAAGAUUAUUGUUUGGCUUCUUUUCUUCUUUUCUUCUUUUUUCCCCCUUUUCUUUCUCCAUUUGUAAUAAAAUUUGGGUACCCCUUUUCCAAAUUUUAUUUGAUGGAUAGCUAAUUAAUUAUUCAACCUAAAAAAAAAAAUAAUUAUUGUGUUAAUGAAUUCAUAUAUUUCUUUUUUUUUUUACUAGAAAAGUAUCGUUUAAUUAUAACUUUAAUAUAUAUAUAUCAUUACAUUAUAAUCCGUGCAUUUUAACUAUACAACUAUAAUUUUAUUUGGUGAAUCUAAUUGUCAAGUUUUUAAUUAUUUAUCAUGUAAUGCAUUAAAUAAAAGCAUGAUCCUAAUCCGUUCUGUUUAUAGCAACAAACUUCAAAAUGAUGGUUAAUCAAAUAAGAUUUGGUCUUUCUUCUCCGACACAAUGUCAAUCACAAUAACUAUAUCCCUUAUCGCAAUAAAAAAGAACAUACUUUUCUCUUUUUGACAUUUCAAUAGAGACAAGAUAACUUAAAGCAAGAAGAUGUUUCCGUUCCGCACUAUACUCAAAAAAUUCUACUGCAUUAAAAAACUUGUUGACACAAUUGAUUACUAUUCUUCAUUCGUAGUUUCGUCAUCGAUAGAUGCAAUUAAGCAAAUUGUCUUCCACAUGCAUUACAAAAAAUAGUGCAAUGAGAGAUGAGUAAAUUGUGUAUAAUGCAUACAUUAACCAUAAUAUCAAAGUCGAAAAAUUCAUGAUUGUGAGGGAUAAUCUAGGGAAAUAAAAUAAAUAAUUUGUUAACAGAACUAACAUUUUUUUACUUCAAAAUAUAAUUAGUUAGGUUACAACAUUGGAGGAUAAGUUCAAAAGAAAACAAACAUGAAGGAAAUGUUAAAAUGUAAUGAGCGUGGAAGAAACAGCUAAGAUGAAAAAAAGAAGUUAUUUGAAAUAGAUGUGGGGCAGCUUUGUCUUUUAAUAAAUUUGAAACCGAAGAAAAAGAAGGAAAAAACACAGGACAUAAUCUUAAAUCAAAAUUACGACCUGUAGUAGAUAGUUUAGUCAAUCAAUGUGACAAGGAUGUCAAGCCAAUAAAGGGUGAAAACAGCAUGAGCCUUAGGCUCCAUUCAUUUUGCGGAAAAUAAUUUCCGAGAAAACAUUUUCCUGAUUUUUCGGCGUUUGUUUCACGGAAAAUGAAUUCCUUUGGAAAAAUGUUUUUCAUGAAAGAAAAAAAGUUUUCUAGAUUAGGAGAAAAUGUUUUCGACUUUUGAAAAGUGGAAAACAUUUUUCUCACUUGAUCUCUCUUAUCGUACACCUCUACAAAUUCUUACUUCCUCCUCCCAUUUCUUCAUUUUCUUUUCUUUUUUUAUUCAAAUUAUGUUUUAAUUUUUUCUUUGUUAAUUCGAAUUAUUUUUAAUUUCCUUUUUCUUUUUUUUUCUUUAAUUUUUCUUUAAUUUGUUUCCUAUCUUCUUCUUUCUUGGAUAAUUGUCGGCCGUUGCCAAGCGAACCUCAAGCUCGUCGAUCUCAAACUCGUGCUUUGCACUCUUAUUUAUCAUUUUCUUUAUUUACUCGACCUUGCAGUUGUACAUUACUCAAGCAAAUGGCUCUACAUGCUUUGCUUCUUUUUUCUUUUGUUUAUUAAAACACAAAAGAUAAAGGGGGAGAACAAGCCAUGGAAGAUUUUAUUAGGGCUGUACAUACUUUGCUUCUUUUCAUUUUUUCUUGUUUUUAAAAUCCACACAAACAGUUUUUAGAGUAGAUGAAUGUUUAGUGAUAAUGAGAGGACAAAUAUAUGAAGCAAGUUUACCUAGAUUUAAAGACAAGUUCAUAUUUGAUGGAUUUAUAGGUCGGUAAGUGAUGCAUGCCUAAGUGGUAAAGUCUUAGAAAAUAUUUUCCUUACCGAAUAUUGAAAAAUUUUUCCAAAACAUUUUCAGGUUGUAACCAAACACCAAAAAAUAUUGUCAUUUUCCUGAAAAAUGACUUAUGGAUUUUUUUUUUCCCGAAAAUGACCUAUUUUCUGCGAAACAAACGGACCCUUAAUUAAUUAAUACAUUCUUUAGGACACUCUUAUCACACAUCUUAAUUAAGCCUUUUCUAAAAUUUGGCAUUCCUUUCAAUCAUUAAAUUAACGUUAUCUUCAAUUAUCUUAUGUUUUCAAUUAACGAAAAUUUAAUUUUAUGUUUUGCAUUAAAAAAUUCUUGUCUUUUUAUCAAAUUUUUGUAUUCUUUUGUUUGGAAGAGUUUAUUUGAGUAAAUAUAUUAUUAGCAUCAUUCAUUUUGUUCGUACUUUUUUUUUCUAUCUCAUUUAAAAUGCUAUACUUGCCAUUUUACUUGAUGGAAAUGCUCUUUUUCGAUGAUGCGAUACGUCUGUGGCGUGUAUGCGAAAUCUCUCAUUCCCUUUCUUCCUCUUCUUCCUUUUCUUCUGUUUUUGCGUGUCUUGGCCUCUUAUAAACUGAAGGCGUCCACCGUUUGAUGUUUUGUUGACUUUUUAACUCUGUUUUUUUUCCUUGCUCGGUUAAACUCCAAAUGUUGCACUAAGUGCACAUCCAUCUAUUUCAAAAAUUUAAUCAAAUAAUUUAUAUUUGUGUGUUCUCGCUGCGUUGAUAUUUCUCUAUGCUUCAUUCGUUAUAAUUAUAUAUUUUUGUCUAAGUGUUUUUCAUUUGUUUAUGAUUAUCAUGAGAAAAAUAUCAAUUUUAUUCCUUUUCAUGUAGUUAUUUUUUAAUAUAUUUAGAGUUAAUACCCUGAAAAAUCCAAAAUUGAUAUACUUAAAUUUUACCUUAAAUUAAUUUUUUGACCACAAAAAAAUCUCAAACUGAUACAUUCGUGACAAAUUUACCAAAAACUAAUUUUUUAAUCACCAAAAACUCUAAAUGUAUAUUCUUGUGAUAAAUUUAUCCUCCAUUAGCUUUUGUCAAAUUUAAACGUUAAAUUUGCCGACAUAGAUGACACAUGGUGAUUUAGUAUGGUGACGUUGAAAGUCCACAUCGAAAUCCAUAGGGUAAAUAUCAUGAAAAAUCUCAAACUGAUACACUUGUGACAAAUUUAAUGAUACUCUCAUGAUAGAUUUAAUGGUACAACUAUGACAAUUUUGGGAUUUCUUGUGGCAUAAAUCCUAUGGAUUUUCAUGUAAACUUGCCAUGUCAUCACAACAUGCCACUAUGUCUCAUCCGCGUUAGCAAAUUUAACGAUAAAAUUUGAUGAAAGUUAUUAGAGGAUAAAUUUAUCACAGAUGUAUCAGUUUGAGGUUUUUGGUGGUGAAAAAAUUAGUUUUGGAUAAAUUUAUCACAAGUUUACUAGUUUGAGGUUUCUAGUGAUAAAAAAAAUUAGUUUGGAGGUAAAUCACCAGUUUGGAGGUUUUUUAGGGUAUUAACUCAUAUAUUUAGUUGUUAAUAUCAUCAAUAGUCAAAUAAUAAAUAUUCAAAUUGCAUUUCAAGAAGUGUUAAAUUAUGUCUCAAGUUUAAGACCGUGCGAGAAAUCUCAAGAAAUCUAUUUUCUUAUUGGGUUAGGAUUCAUCACACGAUGUGGUUUUUUAUUUUUUUUAUUUUUGGUGAAAAGAAAUUUUCAUUCAUUAGUAAAUUGAUACAUGAAAGGAAAUCUCAAAGGUCAUAGUAACAAAACAAACCCAUAGAUCUCCGAAAUAAACAAAAAACCAAAAAUCAAGGCGUUUCGUCAAAGCAUGAUUGAUAGAGAUUAUCACAAGCUUAUCCUUCAAGAACAAAUUUAUAACUGGAUUCAAGCAAAUUACCCAAUCACAUAACACCAUCAAUGAUAAGCACAUGUCGAGAUUUUCAUUUGUGCUUUGCCUUUUGGUGGUGUGGGCCUAAGUUUGGCAUCCCCAACACAAUUAUUAUACAAAGCAACAUAACUAUGUUAAAAAAUCUCAGAUCUGACAUCCGUGAGAGUGAGCCAUGUAGUUAAUGUGAAGUGUCAAAACUUUGAACCAGAACAAAUUUGACACUGAAGUUGCUAUGAACAUCAUUAAAAUUGGAAACGGAAUACUUAUUCAUUAAAACUCAAGAAUCUAUAAUUAGAUCAAAAAGAAAUGCUCUCAGUUAUAAGAUUGGGAGAGCAAAGUUUCCGGAUUUAAAACUUGAUUGGGAGAAUUAAGAAAGAAAUAAAAAGAAAUAAAAGGAAAAUGAACUAAGAGGGGAGGGAGAGAUCCAGGGCAAAUCCCUCCCCUCUAGAAGUGGAGGAGACGAAAAAAGGUUUAGAGAGAGAAUCGGGACCAUGUAGUUUGCUUGACUAUUUUCGGAUGAAGGGGCCACAAGGUAAUUGGCUUAUUCGAUUUUGGUCAAAGAAGAUGUGUGGUGGUUUGACUCCUAUUUGUAGCCACACGAGAGAGAGAGAGAGAGAGAGAGAGAGAGAGAGAGAGAGCCACUACAGGACAAAAUAAGGGCUCACAUGUUCUCUAAUUAUAUAUUUAUUUUGAGGGUGAAAAGGUUUCUGUCAGAGGAGACAAAACAUAGUAAUACAUAUAUAAAUAUAUGUAUUAUAUAUUUCUUUUUCUUGUACUCUUGCCUAUCUUGUCCUUUCCUCGUGAGGAAAGCCCGUCGGUUCUCGAAUAGAAUGCACACUUUGAGCCGCACGAGGGAACUCUCUAAAUAAGGAGCAUAAGACGCACAUGAAUUUUAUACCCAAAUUGUGUUGUGGACUUAUGUGUAAUCUAGGUAGACAAAAUACUGGAGUGCAUCGAUUGCAACUCUGAUUAUCUAAUUAUAAUGAAUUAUUUGUCAUUGGCUCCACUUGUAUAGUAGAAACCAAUCAUUGGAUCAAAUCAUAUAAAUCUAUAAUGUCUUUAAUUGUUCAUUGUUUAUUUUUUUGGUGAUUUCACGGUAAUUUGAAUGGCAUAAUCUUAUCAGUUUCUGCAUUAAUUUUACAAUGGAAAGUUUGGUGCCUAUAAAUUUGAAAGAGACUGCAUGAUCUUUAUACGCGCAAUGCACAUGACAUUUUACUAGUGAUUCAAGAGGGAUAAUUACCAAAAAUGUCUCAAACUUAUCAUUUGGAUGUUAAUUCAGUUAUAAAUUUUUAAUUUAACCAAUGUAAUCCUAAAUCUUUUAACAAUUUUGUUGUAGUCAUUCCGACCAAUUUUUGACCGAUAAUCAUUGACAUGGAUGAUUAAUAACUCUAUUUUAGAUAGAGUAUUUUUACUAAUUUAAGUUUGAUAUUUAUUAAGUUUUGAUGAAUUUUGGGUGAAUUUAUUUGCAACUCAUGUAAUUUUAUUGAAUUUUGUAGGAAACAUGACUUUUGGAUUUAUAAGAAACCAUGCGCAUCAUUUGUAGAAGACAUGAGGAUCGAUGCGUAAUUUUCCCAAGUCAGAGUUGGAUUUGUAGAGCAGUCCCCAAGCCUCAAUAUUUUCCAAAAUAUUUGAAUAUCUCUAAGGAUAUUUGAAUAUCUUUAAGGAUAUCUCUAUAUCUUUAAGAAUAUUUAAAUAUCUUCCAGAAUAUCUUAUCUUGAAGAAAAAGCGAGCCAAGACCAGUGUACUUGACCAUAAUUGAGGAUAGGUUCAAAGAAAAUUAAGGAUACGAAUCUUAAGAAGAAAAACUCCUAAUUUGUUGAGGAAUACUAUUCAAGACCUAAUGAGAGGUUGACUUAGGGUGGAUUUUUAGAAGCUAUAUAAACCCCUCUCAUGCCACAUAUUUUAGUUUCUAGGAGGAGCCUUGAAGCUGCCACUAGAUUUUAGGUUUUCUUAGUUAGUUUUUUAUACUUCUAUUUCAUUAGUGGAAUUUGUGCAUACGAAGGAGAGAAGGAGGAGGCAAACCCGAAUUUAUUUGCGACUCAAACUGGUGAAUUUGUUUCAAUUUAGCAUUAUUUUCUUUUUAAUUUUCAUUGCUAAUUAAUUUUAAUUAUGUUUUGUAUUUCUUUUGUUAGAGCUACAAUGGAUCUUAAUCAUGAUUGAUUGAUUUUCAAGACUUGUUCAUGCAAUAUAAAUGCUUUGAUUGUGGCGUUCUCUAUCAUGAUCUUAAUCCUUUUAGAAGUUUGGGCAACUUUUAAAUGAUUUUUUUUAUGUAUGCAUGAUACCGAGUGGAGAUGGCAUGCAUGAGCACUAGUGACAUCGAAUCAUAAAUUAAAUCUAGCUCAAGGUACACUAGAUUGUUUGUGUGGUUAUGGUGGUAGAUCUAGAUUGGGACUACUUGGAUUAAAUCCAAAAGUUUCCACAAGAAUUUAAUGUUUUUAGGUAGUUUAAAGUCACCUAAGGUUAGUGUGGGUUAACAUACCUUAUUGGGGAUUAUUAGAAUGAGGUUGGCUUGUAAUCUAACUUAGAGAAAUUUCACCAACACAAUUGGAAAUUAAUUUAUUGCAUGACAAAUUGAGAGAAUUGAUUAUGAGUGGUUAAAUGAAGUUGGAUGUUCUAUCACUUUCUAAUCUUGGUUAAAAUCUUGAAAUUUGCCUUGUUAAUUUUCAUUUUACUUUAGAUUAGGUUGAUGUUGCAAUUUUAAUUAGCUUUCAAAUUCUUUAAGUUUUGACUCUUCUAUAAUUAGUCUUUUAAUUGGUUUAAUUCACUUUUUACUUUUUUUUUAAAGCUAAAUCUUUGGAUUGAUCACUUUCGAUAAGUAAACCAUGCUCACUCAUCACUUUGUUACUUGUAGACAUUGUCCACUUACAAUUCACCUAACAAGUUUUUGGCGCCAUUGCCGGGGAUCGAUUUCCAAUUACUAUUGAUAUCGAGAGCGAUUCUUGGUUUAGACAAGCCUUUAUUUUUUUUAAAAAAUUUAUUUCUUUCGUAGGUCAAACUCAACUCUCUAUAAAGGUGGGAGGAGCAUUGCAUCACCCGAAGCCAACAAAUAGAACUUCAAAAGUUUAAUUCCAAGAUUGAAAGAACCUUUUUUAGGAGAAGAAGAAAGCAAGCACAAGUAAGUCUCAUUACAAUGGCUGAAAAUCAAGAAGACGCACCUAGAUGACUUUGAAAAAUAAUGCAACACCAACAAUAAAAAAAAAAAAAAGCAAACAUAUCAAGUUUUACAUUCAAAGUUUUAUUGGUGCCAAUUUCAUGAAAUCCUCAAGGCUUCCGAGCUUGGUAUCUUUCAAUUGGCCAUUGGUAGCUAUUGGUUGCCAUCUCCUCAAGUAGAUUAAAAGCUUCUUCAGCUGACUUGUUUUACAAAGUGCCUCUAGCUGCCACAUUUAGACUAGCUCGAAUGGCGGGAUGUGCUCCAUUAUAAAAUGUGUGCAUUUGCAUCUAAACUAGUAGUCCAUGGUACAUGCAUUUUCUUAGCAGCUCCUUAAACCUCUCCUGUGCUUCAAAAAAGGACUCACCAUCUAUAUGCAUAAAUGUAGUAAUAUUGUUAUACAUUUUGGUAAAUUUAAAGGAGGAAAAUACUUAGGAAUUUUUGAGCCAAGUCUUGCCAAGUGGUAAUAAAACCUCUAAGAAGAGAGGUCAACCAAGUCUUAAAUUUAUCACAAAGAAAAAAUGGGAAGAGUUAUAACUUAAGGGCAUCAUCAGGAAUGCCAUUGAAUUUAAUAGUGUCACAAUUUCAAGGAAUGCUUCUAAGUGUAAAUUUAGAUCAUCAUUAGGUGAUCCACUAAAUUGCCUUGCAUUUUUAAGCAUUUGAAUUAAGGAUGGAUUGAUCUCAAAAUUAUUAGCUUGCAUUGCCGGCCUCCUUAGACUAAAUUGUGCUUCUUGAAUUUUAGUGUUGCAUAAUCUUUCAAAGUCCUCCUUGGAGGCGUGUCUUGUUGAUUUUUAGCCAUUGCAAUGAGGAUUGCUUGUGCUUGCUUUUUUCUUCUCCUAAAAAGGUUCUUUCAAUAGCGGGAUCAAACUCUUCAAGGUCUCCUUGGCUUCGGGUGAUGUGAUGCUCAUCCCACCUUUUAUAGAGAGGUGACUUUGGCAUACAAAAGAAAUAAAUUAAAAACAAAAGAAAGGCAAGUCAAAAUCAAGAAUAGCUCGAUAUCAAUAGUAAUUGGAAAAUUAUCAAAUAAAUCCCUGGCGAUGGCACCAAAAACUUGUCAAGUAAAUUACAAGCACACAAUAUCUACAAGUAAUAAAGUGAUGAGUGAGUAUCGUUCCCACUUGGAUUGUAUUUAAUUAUCCAAUUACUUACCGAAGGUGAUCAAUCCAAAAAUUUAGCUAACCAAGUCAAAAAGGCAAGUAAAAAGUGAACUAAAUCAAUUAAAGGACCAAAAUAUUAAAUAGACAAAACUUAAAGGAUUCAAAAGCUAAUUAAAAUUGCAAAAUAAACCUAAUCUAAAACAAACUAAAAAUCAACAAGGCAAGUUUCAAGAUUUUAACAAAGAUUACAAAGCAUUAGAGCAUCCAACUUCACUUAACUAAUCAUAAUUAAUUUUCUUAACUUGUCCUGCAAUAAAUUAAUUUCCAAUUGUGUUAAUGAAAUUUCCCUAAAUUAGAUUACAAGCCAACCUUAGUCUAACAAUCCCUGAUUAGGUAUGUUAAUCCACACUAGACUUAGGUGAAUUUAAACUAUCUAAAAGCAUUAAGUUCUUUUGGAAAUUCAUGGAUUUAAUAUAAGUAGUCUCGACCUAGAUUUACUACCGCAGCCACACAAACAAUUUAGUGUACCUUGACUUAGAUUUAAUUUAUAGUUCCAUGUUACUAGUGCUCAUGCACGCAAUCUCCACCUGAUAUCAUGCAUACAUCAAAAAUCAUUUAAACGUUAGCCAAAAUUCUAAAAGUAUUAAGAUCAUAAUAGACAACGCCACAAUCAAAAUAAUUAUAUUGCAUGAACAAGUCUUCAAAAUUAAUCAAUCAAUCAUGGUUAAGAUCCAUUGUAGCUCUAACCAAAGAAAUUUAGAAAUAAUUAAAGCUAAACUAAAAACAAAAACUAAAAACUAAAAAGAAAAUGCUAAAUUAAAACAAAUUCACCAAUUUGAGUCACAAAUGGAUUCGGGUUCGCCUCCUCCUUCUCUUGCAAAAAUUCUACUAAUGAAAUAGAAGUAUAAAAGCUAGCUAAGAAAACCUGAAAUUUGGUGGCGACUCCAGGGCUCCUUCAGAAAACUAAAAUAUGCGGCACAAGAGGAUUUUAUAUUGCCUCAAAAAUUUGCCCUAGGUCAGCCUCCCAUUAGGUCUUGAAUAGAACUCCUCAACAAAUCAAGAGUUUUCCUUCUUAAGAUUCAUAUCCUUGAACCUAUUCUUAGUUGUGGUCAAAUACACUGGUCUUGGAUGGCUUUUUUUUUUUUUUUUUUUCAAGAUAAGAUAGUCUUGGGAAGAUAUUGAAAUAUCCUUAGAGAUAUUUAAAUAUUCUCAAAGAUAUACAGAUAUUUAAAUAUUCUAGAAGAUAUUUAAAUAUUCUCAAAGAUAUUUAAAUAUUCUCAAAGAUAUAUAGAUAUCCUUAAAGAUAUUGAAAUAUCGUUAGAGAUAUUCAAAUAUCCUGGAAUAUAUUGAGGUGUAGGGACUGCUCUACAAAUUUAGCACAGACUUGGGAAAAUUACGCAUUGGUCCUCGCAUCUUCUACAAAUGAUAUGCAUGUUCCAUUAUAAAUCUGAAAGUUGUGUUUCUUACAAAAUUCAAUAAAAUUACAUGAGUAGCAAAUAAAUUCACUCAAAAUUCAUCAAAACUUAGUAAAUAUAAAACUUAAAUUAGUAAAAAUACUAUCUAAAAUAGAGUUGUCAAUGAAGACCGUUUUACAUGAUAUAUUCAGGAUUGACAUAGAUUUUUUUUUUUUUUGCUUUUUUUAUUUAUGAUUUUUAAAUAAUUUUUUAAUUUUAUUCUUUUUCUCUUCCAUCAUUGAUUGCCAUGGCCAGUAAUCAGACAUAGGUGAGGGCCAAUGAGGGCAAGUCUCCCCCAAGGCCCAUGAGGCCAGGUCGUCAUUGAGGCUUGACAAUUGGCGAGCAAGAAGAAAUAACAAAAGAAAGAAAAAGGAAAAAGGAAAAAAUAAAAAAAAAAUGCAAAAGUCGACCACAUCAGUGUUGAUUAUGCCACGGAGGAUAGUCAACACUAACAUUAGCGAUUGCCAACCAAAAUUGGCUGGAAGAACUAUAUUAACAAAUUGUUGAAAGAUUUAGGACUAAACUGAUCAAAUUGAAAUACUUAGAAAUAAAUUGGCAUCCAUAUAAUAAAUUUAUGACUAUUUUUUGGAAGUUUGUAUUGAUUAUGGCUCGAAGUUAGUUCUCACUAUUUUGAAAUUCAACCCAUGAAUUGGAAGUAAUCAUGGGCGAUAUUAAGGAAAGCCCAAAUUGGACUCUUGUCAACAAGAUCAUGAGGAAUGCAAAAAAAUGAAAAUUAAAUUCUCAUUUCUCAUUGAAGAUGAACUCUAUGUUGAUGUCAAAAAAGAGCUCAUAGUUUCUCACAUAAAUAUUUUGUUGUUGAAUUUGAUCUAGUGUACAUAGUUUGUGCACUUAACAUGUAUAAAACUUGCAAGAGACGCCGAGUGCGUUGUGAGCCAUAAUCCAAGAGAUUCAAGAGUAUAAGAAAAUUUCUUUCUUGCAAUUGAUUUUAGUGGGUUUUAGUUUAAUUUAGGAUUAGAAAACACUAAUGAGUGAGGGUGAUCAAGUACUUGUCAUAUUAUUUUCCUCUAUUGUAGUGAAAUCAUUUCAUCAAACUCUCCUAUAGGAGUAUGCUCACAUUUAGACCACAUAAAUCCAUUUCUUUUAAUUCUAUUUAUGCAAUUUAUAUUUUACUUAUGGUAUGCGGAUUUCACGGAAAACUUCUUGAUGAAAGAAAACACUUUCGUAAAAAUCAUUUUCUAAGAAAAUGAUUGGUCUUUAGUUGUUUGGUGGUAUUCUUAAAAGUGAGACAUAAAAAGUUUUCCAAUGGUUAAAUCUUACUUUCUUUUCCACAUUGAAGAUAAAGUCCACGUUGACCUAGAGAAUGGCUCAUAAUUUGUUGCAUAUAAAUAUUCCUUUGUCAAGUUUGGCACGGUGUGCAUAGUCAUUACGUUUAGCAUGUGUGCACCUUGUGAGGUACGGAGGCUUCAUUUGGUUGUCCAAAUUUCUAAUCAUGAUAGAAUUAAAUAGGCUAUUUUGCUAUAUUCUAUCAACUAUUUGGUGAUUGCAAUAAUAAAAUCGGAUAUAUUUACAUAAUUGAUUUAUGGGAUUUUUGAUUUAUUUUAGGAUCGAAAAACACAAAUGAGUGAGUUCGAUCGAGCGUUUAUAAUCUUAUCUUCAUCUCUUAUAGUGAAAUCAUUUUGUCAAUCUCUCCCAUAAAAGGAUAUACGCUGUUGAAUCACGUAUAUCUGUUAUUUUCAGAUUUUAUUUUUGCAGUUUAUUUCUUGUUCAAAUCGUUGCAUUUGUUUACGGUUCCAGGACAACCGUAACAAUUUGGUCCAUCAAACCAGUUUUAUGAAAGUGGAUGACAUGGUACAAGACACAUUUACAUCGACAUCUUAGAGAAGCGUAGCGUAGUACCUUGUUCUAGAUACAGUGAACAUAUUUUCCGAAAGCAUAGGAGCUCAUGUGCACCAAAAUGUACGGUAAGUGACUCAAAAGUCCUUUUGAUCAUCCCUAAAGAAAGAAAACAACCCCUCGUGGAAACAUCAGGAAAAAAAAAAGAGACUAUGCCCAUUUAAAUGUACAGAAAGUUGACUCAUUCGCGAGAAACCACGACCACCUGUUUCCCAACAUUGCGACCGGAGAACACCCCGACAAGAGCUGCCGGACUGUUCUCGAGCCCUUCCACGAUGUCUUCCACGGGGACAAUCUUCCCCUCUUUGAUCUGAGGCAAUACCAUCUCCAGGAACUUCGGGUAGAGAUGAUAGUAAUCGGACUCCACGAAACCUUCCAUUCGAACCCGCUUCAGGACUAGGUUUAUCAAGUUGUGUAUGCCUUCGUGCCGCUCGAGGUUGUACUGUGAGACCAUCCCGCAUACCGUGAUUCGGCCAUGAAAUUUCAUGUUGAGCAGCACCGCAUCAAGCAUCUUUCCACCGAAAUUCUCAAAGUAUAUAUCGAUUCCCUUGGGGAAGCAUCUAAACAUUAAAGACAGAAAAAAAGUCAACUCGAGUUGGCUUCGGAAUGGGUACAUACUUAAUUUCCUGUACAUCAGUCAUUUGCUCAAUUAUCGUUACUAUAUUCCUGGUUCACCUUUUCAGUGCUGCAUCCAGAUCCAGCUCCUCCUUGAAGUUAAAAGCAUCAUCGAAUCCAAACUUGUUCUUCAGCAAAUCUACCUUUUUCCCAAACAUAACAAUAAGCGAGAAGUAAAGAAAAAAUCGGGAAGAGACCAUUAAGCAAUUACUUUUCAAGGAAACACUAGACAAAUGUGUGAUGAUUACCCUUUCUUUGCUGCCGGUGCUGCCAACAACAUAACAACCAAACAACUUUGCAAACUGGCCAACAAGCUGACCAACAGCUCCGGAUGCCACUGAUAUGAAAACAUUAUCUCCUUUCUUAGGAGAGCAUACCUCGAAAAACCCGGCAUAAGCCGUCAAGCCUGGCAUACCUGGAAAGUUUAGAUCUAUAUAAAUUAGAUGAGUUUCAAGAUUUGCUGAAGCAUAGGAGGAGUGCAAUUCUAUGGCGAAAUCUCAAACGAUCCGAUUUAACUGACUGAUGUGAUGCCCUGACAAUUGGAUGAGAAAUAAUCAAUUUACACACUUCUUUCAGCACGAAAGACAGCUCUGCAGGGCUCUAUUGUUGAGACAAUUCAACGUGGGAAUACAGCUCAUUGACAAGGAAGAUCCCCACAACUAAAAUUUAAAGGAAGCAAACUUUUUCCUUGCAUAACUGGAGGCUGUCCGUACUUGAGAAUGAAAUAGACAGAACAAAGUAUCUCAACAAAUCGAUUCCCCUCAUUCUUUAACACUGAAAAAGAUAUCGCACCAGAUGAUUAAAGGGUAUACCCAGAAGGCCGGUGUAGUAAGACAGAGGAACAUCAGUGUGUUCGAUCUUAAAGCAAGUCUCCGGUGCAGUAAUUAGAGUAUACUCCUCCCAUCUAGUCAUGCCCCAAACUAAGUCGCCUUUCUUGAAGUUUGGAUGCCCAGAUUCCAAAACUCUAGCUACUCCAUAUCCAGGAACAGGCUGCAUCAUUGUGUUGAAUACUUCAGAAUAUAAUUGCAACUACAUUUAGCAAACACGAAUAGACCUUGAGCUUACAAGAAGGAAGGAAUAUGUUUCCUUUGAAUUUUACUUGAGGAUUGUAAUUGUCACAAAUUUGACUUUGACUUAUGCAUGCGAGUUGGAAACUUACCGUUGGCAUCAUGAGUAUAGUGAAUGUAACGAGAGAGAUGGCAAUACUUACGGAGCCGAGCCGAGUGAAGUACUUAAUGAGGUGUAAAUUGUAGGGUUCGCAAGCCAGGUACAAAUUCUUCACCGCGAUGGUCCCAGAGUCCUUGUCGGCCUUCGGUCUCUCCAAACUCGUCUUCACUUUCAAGUUGGUCUCUUUCAGGGAACCUCGUACCUUCUCUCUGUAAAUCACCUGUCUGUUGCUCAUCACUUCCACCGAAGCAUUAUUGCCGUCCUUCUCCAUUCUCUCUCUAGAGCAGUGUUGUCACCCUCUCUCUCUCUCUCUCUCUCUCUCUCUUCUUGGAUUUUUUUCUUUUUCGGUCGAAAUGUCUUCUUGGAUUUGGUUGGUGAGAAACAUGGCCAAACAGUGCACGUGUACUUAUAGGGGAGAUGGGUGACGAGAUAUGCUUACGUAUGCCUACGUAUGCCAUUGUGUCAUCGGUGGAAUAGUAUACUCCUUGGGGAAAAGAAAAGUGGGUCAAAGUGGCCGAUUGAAUUCUAAUCAUUAUAAAAUUCCCUGAUUUGCAGCAAAGCUUAAAGGAAUCUUUUAAGUCGUUGUACGGAAAUCGAAGAGAAAUCUGAAAGGGUUGUGCUAGUGUCGCCAGUAGCCACGAAGUUUCCUUUGUCCAGCAUAAGCGUGGAAAUUUUCAAACUAGUUGACCAUCCAUUUUCCAAAUUGAUAGGAUGAUUAGCCAAGCAUUUUCCAAUCUAAAAAUCUUAUAAUUUUUAAGUAAGCUCUGCAGAUCGCCAGUUUUCCUUUUCCACACAUUUUUGAUCUCCUCGACUUGAUUCAAGCGCUAUAACGUGUGUAUGCAGUGGGGUGGUGAAAAAUCGUGAUAAUUGAUUUUAAAAACAAAUGAUGAAUGGAUGAGCCUGAUUGCAUCGGCCUAAAAGUUUUGAUCUAGACUUAUAUAAAUUGAUUGUGUCUCAAUGGACCUAUCUAGACCUUGUUGGAGAAAUCUUCGUGAAGUGUUUUGAAGUUGACAAAACGUUUCCAUCAGUCUAGUCUGAAGGUCUGCAGACUCUGUUAGUUAAAGUCUGAAGACUUCCGGACAGCCAGACUCAAGACUCAAAGUCUAUCCUCAUUGACAGUCUCUAAUCCGUUGAAGAAAGGUUAUCCAGAACUGGAUGUUUUGUUCAGGAUUUAACCUUAUCAUCUGGAGAAGAUCUCGUGGUUGGAGAAGACGUAUCAGAAUCCUUUGAUUGAUCAAGAUUGAUUCAAUGACUGAAGAUUCGAUGAUUGUCUAAAUAUUAUUAGAAGGUUCUACUUAUGGAAACCGAGAUCCUGAUUGUAUGAGCGAACAGGAUUGAUGGGCUAUCAACACGUUCCUUUAAUAGCUCGAACAAUCUUCCUAAUUGAUUCCGUCCAACGGGUAGAUUGGAGGAAUUCCUUUGGUAAGUGCCAACGGGUAUGAUGGCAUAAAGGAGUAUAUAAGGAAGACGUUCUUAGUUGUUCGAGGGGUGCGCGAUAGAAGAAUUCCAAAGUCUGAAGCUCCUAUUUGUUUAGAUAAAUCCUUUGAGCGAAUACUUGUAUACAAAAGAGAGUCUAUAUUUGUGAGAGACCUUGAGGAGGUGUGGUAAAACAUCUACACUGUGGAAUCAAGGCAAAGCUGUGCUGUAACUUCUCUUUUGAUCAUAGUGAAAUCCAGCCGGUGAGCUGUCAGUGCGGAAGAGUGGACGUAGGCUUGAAUAAGCCGAACCAUUAUAAAUCCUGUGUUCAAUUUUCUCUUCCUCACUCUCUCUACCUCAAUCGUAUUUCAUUUUGUUAAUUAAGAGAGAAUUUACUUUCUAUCAUAUGUUAAGAAUCGCUUCCGUAUAUCGAUAAAUUGUUUAGGCACCUAUUCACCCCCUCUAGGUACUCAUACUAGCAAUAUCAAUUGGUAUCAGAGCCUGUGUACUUACUUUAUUUGAAGUGUUUUACUUCAUAGUAAAAGAUCCAUGGCUAGUAUGCUAGCACCAGGGCUGAUGGAAGGGCAAAGCAAUACCAGAUCACCCUACUUUGAUGGAAAGGAUUACAACAUCUGGAAGAACAAGAUGAAAGCUUUCCUACGAUCAAAGGAUCCUCUGGAAUGGGACGUUGUAGAAAAAGGAAUUACUCCUACCACUGCAUCAGUCUCUGAAAGAGGAAAAGAAACUGAAGAAACCAGCGGAAUGUCUCAGGAAGAAAUAAUCAAGAGACAGACACUCGAUGCAAAAGCAAUUUACUCCUUAUAUUGUGCUUUAUCACCAACUGAAUAUAAUAGAAUAUCUUAUUGUGGUACAGCAAAAGAAGUUUGGGACAUAUUGCAUAUCACCUAUGAAGGAACAGAUCGAGUGAAGGAAACAAGAAUCAACAUUCUUCUCGGUCAAUACGAAGCCUUCAGAAUGAAACCAGGAGAAUCAAUAUCUGACAUGUUUAGUCGUUUUACAGAUAUUGUGAAUGGUCUUGAAAAUCAAGGUCAACCAACUUCUGAUCCCAUGAAGGUAAACAAGCUACUGCGUGGACUCUCCAGGGAUUGGAAUCACAUAAAGACUUCGAUAAGAGAGACGCAGAGAAUCAUGCCACUAUCUGUCGACGAGCUGAUGGGAACUCUUCAGUCCUAUGAAGUGGAAAGGAUCAAUGAAGAUGAAGAUCCAAAAGGUAAGAAAUCCAUUGCAUUAAAAUCAAAUGAUGAUUCUGAUGAUACAGAUUCUGAAGAUGAUAUGGACGAUGAGGAGCUUGCUCUCAUGAUAAGAAGAUUCAGAAAACUAAAUAGAAAAGGAAGAAGGUUCAACUCAAAGAAACAAAGCUUUCAAAGACAGCAGACCAAGUCUGUUGAUGAUGAGGAACCAAAUAAAGAUGUAGUCUGCUUUGAAUGCAAGAAAAAGGGACACAUCAGACCCAACUGUCCUCUUCUGAAGAAGAAGAGAGGAAAAGCUGAAAAAUUUCGAAAAGCUCUCAAAGCCGAAACCUGGAGUGAUACUGAUUGUGAAGAAAGUGAUAAUGAAUAUGCCAAUCUAUGUCUGAUGGCACAAUCAGACUCAGACUCUGGAUCAGACUGAGGAUCAGACUCAGACAGUGAAUUUGAGGCAAGUGAUUUUAAAAUUCCUGUCAAAGUUUCUAAAUAUAUUGAUGAACUAUGCUUUAGUCUUAAGACUUCUCUCAAAAGAAUUUCCGAACUGAAAAAAGAAAACUCAGCUCUAAAACAAAAGGAAAAUGUUUUAGCAGAAAAAGUUAAAAGUCUAGACUUGUCUGUUUCCAAUCUUAAAGAAAAUGAAGAUAAUCUUUUAAAAGAAAAUGCUUUUUUAAAAACAGACUUAUCAAAUAUAUCAAAGAAAUUUUCUAUAGGGUCUGAAAAACUUGAGAAAAUUCUUUCAGCACAAAGACCUUACUUCAAUAAGUCUGGUCUAGGUAUGACAGAAGAUACAAUUCCCUUGAUUGAUUUUCCUAAAGUAAAAGAAAGAAUUAAGAAAAGACUCUCGAGUGAGGUUUACAAAAAUCACUUCAAGAAAGUUUUUGUAAAACCUGUAGGUAGAAAUGCUCUCAGAUGUUCUAAGUGCAACAGUCCAGAUCACUUUGAAAAAGAGUGUCCUAUGGUAUGGAAACCUGUUAAGAAAGUAUGGGCUAAUACUGUUUAUCCUACUAACACCAAAGGACCCAAGAAAAUUUGGGUACCAAAGAAAGCUUGAGACUUUAUUUUAAAUGCAGGUCUCCGUCAAGAAACAGGUAAAGUGGUAUUUUGACAGUGGAUGCUCAAGACACAUGACAGGAGACUCAAAUUGCUUUAUAAAGAUUGCUCAAGUAAAUGGUGGAAAAGUUUCAUUUGGAGGAAACAGCAAAGGAAGUAUUGUGGGAUUUGGAACCGUGAAAAUUGGAACUCUCACAAUAAGUAAUGUUUCCUUAGUGGAAGGACUCAAUUACAAUCUUCUCAGCAUUAGUCAAUUGUGUGAUACUGGUUUCAAGAUCUUCUUUCAAGAAGGAACAUGUUCUGGAAUCAAUAAAGACUCUACUCAGUCUUUCAUGGGUCGAAGACAUGGAAAUAUCUAUCUUCUGGAUGUGAAACCAAAUGAAUCGAAAUGCCUUAUCUCAAUUCAAGACGAAGCAAGCUUAUGGCACAAAAAGCUUGGUCAUGUCAACAUGAAGCAAUUAGCCAAAAUCUCUUCAAAACAGCUUGUUCGAGGACUACCCAGAUUGCCAUACCAAAAGACUGAUUCAUGCACUCCAUGUAUUAUGGGAAAACAGGUAAGAAAUUCAUUUAAGCAAUAAAUCAUGUCUCUACUAAUCAUGUACUACAGUUGCUGCAUAUGGAUCUCUUCGGACCAACCAGAACACAGAGUAUUGGAGGUAAGAAAUAUUGCCUAGUAAUUGUGGACGAUUACUCCCGUUUUACUUGGGUAUAUUUCCUUGCAAGUAAGUCUGAAACCUUCUCGUAUUUUGAAAAGUUUGCUAAAAAGGUUCAAAAUGAAAAAGGAUGUGUUAUCUCUUGUAUAAGAACAGAUCAUGGAGGUGAAUUUGAAAAUCAAGAUUUUACAAAAUUUUGUGAUGAAUCUGGCUUUAAUCAUGUGUUCUCCUCUCCAUAUACUCCUCAGCAAAAUGGAGUUGUGGAAAGAAAGAACAGAUCUCUUCAGGAAAUGGCUAGAACUCUUUUAAUAGAAAGCAAGAUUUCUUCAUGAUUUUGGGCUGAAGCUGUUUCAACAGCAUGCUAUAUCAUCAAUAGAGUCUUCUUAAGAUCUAUUCUUCAGAAAACCCCUUAUGAGUUAUUCAAAGAAAAGAAGCCUAUUGUUUCAUACUUUCAUGUAUUUGGUUGUAAAUGUUUUAUAUUGAAAAAUGCAAAAGAUCGAGUUGGUAAGUUUGAAGAAAGAUCAGAUGAAGGUAUCUUCUUUGGAUAUUCUACAUCAAGCAAAGCUUACAGAGUCUAUAACAAGAAGAGUCAGUCUGUGGAGGAGUCAAUGAAUGUCAAAUUUCAAGACUCAACGUAAGAUGAACCAAGUCAGACUCAUCAAGAAGAGUCUGAACCUGCCCCAGACCCUCCAAAGUCUACAACUCAAGAAGCAUCUCAGACUCUGGAAAACCAGCAUUAGGUUGUUAGUGAAGAUCCAAAUAAAGAAAGAGAUCAUCAACCAGACAAAUCAACAAGUAACUGGAAGCAUAAGUCCAGUCAUCCCAAAGAUCUUAUAAUUGGCGAAAUUAAUGAAGGAAUUCGCACCAUAUCCAAAAGGCGAGAAGAGUCUAGUGCUGUGGCACUCGUUUCUGAAAUUGAACUAAAGAGCAUAGAAGAAGCUUUAUCUGAUGAAAGCCGGAUUGAAGCUAUGCAAGAAGAGCUCAGACAGUUCAGCAUUAAUGAUGUCUGGGAAUUGACAUCCAAACCAAAAGGUAAAACUGUUAUUGGAGCUAAAUGGGUGUUCAGAAACAAGAUGAACGAGAAAGGAAAAGUCGUACGAAAUAAAGCAAGACUCGUGGCCAAGGGAUAUACGCAAGAAGAAGGAAUAGACUAUGAUGAGACUUACGCUCCAGUGGCAAGGUUAGAAGCUAUUCGACUAUUACUUGUGUUUGCUUGUUAUAAGAAUUUCAGGUUAUUCUAAAUGGACGUCAAAAGCGCAUUCCUAAAUGGAUUUAUCCAUGAGGAAGUUUAUGUGGAACAACCACCAAGGUUUGAAGACCCAAAGAAGCUAGACUCAGUCUUUAGACUGAAAAAGGCUUUGUAUGGUUUAAAGCAAGCACCUCGGGCUUGGUACGACAGAUUAAGUAAGUUUCUAAUACAAAAUGGUUUUGUCAAAGGUAAAGUAGAUACGACUUUAUUUAUCAAGAAGGAAAACAAAAGUUUCUUACUUGUUCAAAUAUAUGUGGAUGAUAUUAUUUUUGGAUCCUCUAAUGAAAGUCUGUGCAAGAAAUUUUCAAAGUCUAUGCAGGAUGAGUUUGAAAUGAGUAUGAUGGGAGAGUUAACAUUCUUUCUUGGUCUUCAAGUAAAACAAUUGAAGGAAGGAACUUUUAUUUAUCAAGAAAAAUAUGUUAAUGAUCUUGUCAAAAGGUUUGGACUGGAAAAGUGCAAAAAGACCGACAUACCAAUGUCAAGUUCUUUAAAGAUAGACAAAGAUGAAGAAGGGAAGAAAGUUGAUCAAAAGCUGUACAGGAGCAUUAUUGGAUCACUUCUUUAUCUUACUGCUUCUAGAUCUGACAUUUUGUUGAGUGUUUGCAUCUGUGCAAGGUUUCAAUCAGAUCCUAGAGAAUCCCAUCUUAGUGCUGCGAAACGCAUCAUUAAAUACGUGGCUUCAUCAUUAAGCAUCGGUCUUUGGUAUCCUAAGAAGGGAGACUUUAAUCUUCUGGGAUAUUCAGACGCAGAUCUGGCCGGUUGCAGAGUUGAUAGAAAGAGCACUUCAGGAACUUGCCAGUUGCUUGGAAGCAGGACAGUGUCUUGGUUUUCAAGGAAACAAAGCACUGUGUCUCUUUCAACAACAGAAGCAGAGUAUGUAGCUCUUGGAAGCUGCUGUUCGCAAAUUCUAUGGAUAAAACAACAGCUAAGAGAUUUUGAAAUUGAAGACUCAUGCACAGAGAUUAAUUGCGACAACACCAGCGCUAUCAACCUCACCAAAAAUCCAAUUCUCCACUCAAGAGCAAAGCAUAUAGAGAUUCGACAUCACUUUAUUAGAGAUCAUGUUCAAAAUGGAGAUGUUUCAAUUCAAUUUGUUGACUCAAAGAAUCAACUGGCUGAUAUACUCACAAAGCCUUUGGAGAAAAAUCAAUUUGAGUCUAUACGGUCCAGACUCAACAUUUUGAGGUAUGAGGAUAUCAAAGUCUAAAGACUUUCAGACUCAGGCUUACAAGACUUUAUCUACAGUCUUGGCUCGACCUUCAGACUGUAAGUCUUUCUCUCUCCAAUCUUAUCUUGAAAAGGUACGAUCAUCAUACUGUGUUUAAAUUGUUGCUAUAUUUAAUUAACGUAAAUAUUGCAUCGAUUCAUUUUCAAAAGGGAAGUUAUUUUUGAAAUAGCUAUUUUUGCGAAUAAAGACAGUUAUUUUGAAAAGGCAUAUUUUUAUUUCCUUUGUGACGGUUCGUUUACUUUUCUUUUUAACCGAUUGUGCACUGUCGAUUCCUCUUCACUUUUCUAUUCACUUUUCUCUCAAAAAAACCCUAGAAAGCAUCGAUCCUCCAUUCCCGUUUGUCUUCUUCGCUCAAUCUUCAAAAAGUUGUCAUCUUUUCUGGGAAAGUCAAGCAAGGAAUCUUCCAAACACUGAGAAAGAUGUCAUCUUCACGAAAGUCCUCAAGAAUCGCAAGCAGGGGACCACAGAGAAUGAGUGAGGGGCCUACGCACUUCGAUCUUACUGAAGAUGAAGUUACUCCAGAUCAGCAACCGAGCCCACAACAUUCUCAGCAGUGUCAUUCUCCACCAUCUAGUCCUCAAGGCGUUGUUCAUCAGCAUCAGGAAGAAAUCAUCGAGGAUGCAGACCCCGUAAGAUUUCAAAAGCCCGCUUUUAUUUACAAGCUAUAUCGUGCCUUAAAAGGAAUUCGUACUCCUUUGAACUAUGUUGAUGAGUUUCUUAGAGACAAAGGAUAUAAGAACGAGUAUAUCUUUCUGCGAAAAAUGGAAAGUUUGGGAAUCGCUCGUAAAGGGGUGGCUGAGGAAACCCUUGCGAAUAUCCCAAGUGAUCCUCGUGACUGGGGACCGAAUCCUGUAGAUGGGAAUGACGAUGACAAUCUGUUCAGUCUAUUUCAACCGAAAAUGGGUAUUGCGGCUGAAAUUCAAGGAAAAAGGGGAGAUUUGUUCAGAUCAAAGGAACAAAAGGAUCUGUACUCGAAAUUGCUGAAGCGUGGGAUAAUAAACCCUAGGAGUGUGGACUUUGAUUUUCUGGAUGCUGUGAAAGUGAACUUAAGGGAAAAGUUCAGUUAUCUUCAACUUGAAAAGUUCUGCUCUGACUCAACUGAGGCUUAUGCUGAAUUGACUGCAUAUUUCUAUUCAAAUCUUAGCUUUUUGGAUGCGAAUAGAUUCUCCUUUAGCGUUAAAGAACAAGACUAUGUUGUGGAUAUGAAUAUGCUGGCAGAUGUGUUAGAAGUUGAGAGAGGCAGAUAUCAACCAAUCAAAGUUUCCAUUGCUCGGGCCACACUUGAACUGGUGAAGGACAGGAGAACAGAUGAGAAGAUCACCUACUCACGGAUGAAUGCAUUCAACAUAUUGCUUCACAAGAUUGUGAUUAAUUGCCUUCGGCCGAAAUCAACUUCCAAAACUGAUGUUUCAAGCUCUGAGGCAAAGUUGAUGUAUGCCAUCCUCUGUGGAAAGAAGUUUUCUCUCCCUCAUACUGUUAUGUUUCACAUGUAUAGAGCAGUGAUGAAGGACAGAGGUCAACUCCCUUACCCAAGCCUUGUUACGAAGUUAUUCAGACAUCUGAAUAUUCAGCCUCCGCAAAUCUUUUGUGUUCGAUCAUGCGAUCAUAUGGUGGUAGGACUGAAAAUGGUGACCAAAAUGCGUCUGAAGGAACUGAGCAAGGAAUUGGAGAAAUUCAAGGAGAAGACUCCUGCCAAAUCUCAUCAACUCUCUUCUGCUGCUAAGAGAAAAGGGAAGGAGCCCAUGGCUGCUCCAUCAAAGAGAAGAAGAGCUCUCCUCGUUGAGGAUGAAGAUGAUGACGAAGACAUCACCAUCUCUGCAAUGGCUUUGAAGAAUUUAAGUCGUCCUGUUCCACAGAAAGAAUCGGAACAAAAGACGAAAGAAGCAGAGGAGAAGGAAGAAGAAGAAAGAGAAGCAGAGGAGAAGGAAGAAGAAGAAAGAGAAGCAGAGCAAGAAGCAGAGGAAGAAAGACCUGAAGAAGAAAGAAGAGAAGAAGGAGAACUUGAGGAAAUCUCUUCUCCACCUGUAGGCAUGGAAACAGGGGGAGAUCGGGAGAAAUGAGUGACGUCUUCAUAUCCUGAUGCAAGUGAAGGAGUCAGUCGCUCGCCUGCAGACCCAGAAGAUGUUUAUGCAUCUCAAUUUCCAGAGGAAGGUCAUGAAGUGUCAUCGCCAAAUCUGCAAGAUUAUGCAGAUCUACCAUCUUCUUUUACUCCAUCAGAUCGAGCCGAAGCAAGUACUCAGACUGAUAAUGGAGCAGAUUUUCGCAGAAUCAUGGAUAUUCUCUUGGAAAUGCGAGGUCAAAUUUAUGCCUUGGGAUGCGAAGUUCAAAGUUUGAAGAAUGAAAGUCAAGCUUCUUCCUGUUCAUUGAAUGAUAAGAUGCAAGCCCUCUCUAUUCAGAAUCAGGCCAAUGCCAAGAGUGAGGAGGUUGUACAGCUGAAGGAAGACUUUAAAAGGCUGGAAGGCAUCGUUCAGUCUAUGGAAGAUUUCCAGCUUGUCCGCAUUCCCAAGACUUCAUCUCAUCCUUUUUAAUGAUGACAAAAAGGGGGAGAGAUGCAUGAUUUGAUCAAAAACUUUCAAUCAUUUUUUAACUGUUUGUUGGAUUGUGUUGUUGUUUAACUGUUUUUGACAGACUUUGACUUUGUUUUGUGUCUGGAUGAGAACUGAACUAGACUUGGACUUGACUGCUUCUAUUAACAAGUAUUGAUAUCUUAUGAAUGGUUUUAUUAUAUACUAGACUAACCUAUUUUCUAUGGUUGCAGAUUCUAGUGUUAAUCUUUUAGCCAUUCAUCUCUAUAAGAUAUGCAUAUGUGUUUGAGAAAUGUUUUGCAGGUCAAAGUUAUCCAAAUCUGCAGGAAGGUUUUGUCACCAUCAAAAAGGGGGAGAUUGUUGGAGAAAUCUUCGUGAAGUGUUUUGAAGUUGACAAAACGUUUCCAUCAGUCUAGUCUGAAGGUCUGCAGACUCUGUUAGUUAAAGUCUGAAGACUUCCGGACAGCCAGACUCAAGACUCAAAGUCUAUCCUCAUUGACAGUCUCUAAUCCGUUGAAGAAAGGUUAUUCAGAACUGGAUGUUUUGUUCAGGAUUUAACCUUAUCAUCUGGAGAAGAUCUCGUGGUUGGAGAAGACGUAUCAGAAUCCUUUGAUUGAUCAAGAUUGAUUCAAUGACUGAAGAUUCGAUGAUUGUCUAAAUAUUAUUGGAAGGUUCUACUUAUGGAAACCGAAAUCCUGAUUGUAUGGGCGAACAGGAUUGAUGGGCUAUCAAUACGUUCCUUUAAUAGCUCGAACAAUCUUCCUAAUUGAUUCCGUCCAACGGGUAGAUUGGAGGAAUUCCUUUGGUAAGUGCCAACGGGUAUGAUGGCAUAAAGGAGUAUAUAAGGAAGACGUUCUUAGUUGUUCGAGGUGUGCAUGAUAGAAGAAUUCCAAAGUCUGAAGCUCCUAUUUGUUUAGAUAAAUCCUUUGAGCGAAUACUUGUAUACAAAAGAGAGUCUAUAUUUGUGAGAGACCUUGAGGAGGUGUGGUAGAACAUCUACACUGUGGAAUCAAGGCAAAGCUGUGCUGUAACUUCUCUUUUGAUCAUAGUGAAAUCCAGCCGGUGGGCUGUCAGUGCGGAAGAGUGGACGUAGGCUUGAAUAAGCCGAACCACUAUAAAUCCUGUGUUCAAUUUUCUCUUCCUCACUCUCUCCACCUCAAUCGUAUUUCAUUUUGUUAAUUAAGAGAGAAUUUACUUUCUAUCAUAUGUUAAGAAUCGCUUCCGUAUAUCGAUAAAUUGUUUAGGCACCUAUUCACCCCCCUCUAGGUACUCAUACUAGCAAUAUCAGACCUAACCGAGCCAAACUCUUAAAGGACUUGACUAGACUUACCCAUUUUUCGGUUGAGGCCAGUACCGUACAUGAUCACUUCUACAACAAAGCGUGAUGGGCAAUCUUUUUUUUCUAGUCCAACUUGGGCAUCUACCUCUUUUGAUACUCAUUCAACAUUUCGAGAUGUCGUGCCAUGAAUGUUUCUAUACUUUUGGACUGCUCACAUAUGAUGACGGAGGCUUGCUUCGCAUCCGUUGCCUCUAUAUAAUUUGCUGUAUUCUAAUAACUUAAGAAAAAAAAAUGCUUAUCGUCUCGUUUCUUUGAUUGGACUGAUGUAAUUCUUUACUUAGUUGUAGCUCCGCAUUUGGAUGGUUGACUUUUGAUACCAAGUAAAGCGAAAUCUAUAUAUGUUCCACCAUUCUUGAACUCACAAAUCUAUUUAUUUUUAUUUCUUUCAUUGAGUGACGUAAUAUCAGUUAUUUGUUAGACUAAUUUGGUAAUUUUAUCCCUUUAUAUCAUUUGCCCUAACCAAAUAGACCGUAGCCUUUCUUAUUCUAUUUUCAAAUUCAAUUCUCUCUUCAAUUUGAAAAUGUAAUGCCGCUGCACUCGGUGAGUAUUAAUUCUUCAUUUUGCUUCUCCCUUUAAUAAAUUGAUAUGUUCUUCUGGUUAUUCUUAUCGCACUUCUUAAUAAAUUCUAUUUGAAUAUUUGGCAUACCUUUCAGCUAUCUAUUUCCACUAUCUUCAACUGUUUUACGUUUUCAAUUAACGAAAAUCUAUUUUUUUUUUUUGCAUGAAAAAAUUCUUGUCUUUUUACCAACUUUUUAUAUUCUUUUGUUUGGAAGAGUUUAUUUGAGUAAAUAUAAUAUUAGCUACUUCCACAUUUAAAAGUAGAAAAUUAUUGUCUAAUUCAUUUUUUCUUUUUCAUGCUUAUGUCAUUUGAAGUGUUUUUUUUAUAUUAUAAUUCAUUUUCUUCGUCAGUGACAUGCACGCGAAAUCCCUUUUUUCCUUUCUUCUUUUUUCUUUUCUUUCACUUUUCUGUUCUGUUUUUGCGUCUUGGCCUCUUAUAAACUGAAAGCGUCCACCGUUUGCUGUUUUGUUGACUUUUUAACUCUGUUUUUGUUUUUCCCCGGACUUGGUUAAACUCCAAAUGUUACAGUAAGAGCACAUCCGUCUAUUUCAAAAAUUUAAUCAAAUACUUUAGAUUUGUGUGUUUUCACUGUGUUGAUCUUUUUGUGUGUUAUAUUUGUAAUUAUUAUAUAUAUUUUUCUAAUGAGUGUUUCUCAUUUGUGUAUGGUUAUCACGGGAAAAAUAUCAAUUUCAUUCCUUAUUCAUAUAGUUCUUUUUAAAAAUUGAAUAUAUUUAGUUGUUGAUACCAUUCAAAGUGAAGCAACAAAUAUUCAAAUCAUGCUUAAGAAAAUAUUAAGUUAUAUUUUGAGUUUGAGUUUGUGUGAGAAAUUUCAAGAAAUCCAUUUUCUCACUGGGAUUUGGAUUCAUCACACGACAUAGUUUUCUCGACUGGUGUCCGACGAAGCGGCCACAAGGUUAUUAACUUAUUUGGUUUUGGUCAAAGGAGAUGUAUGGCUGUUUUACUCCUAUACAUAACCGCACAAGAGGGAGAGUCAUUAUAGGAUAAAAUAAGGGCUCACAAAUUCUCCAAGGAAAAAUUAUCAAAAAAAUCCUAAACCUAUUGCAAUUGUGUCAAUUCAGUUCUAAACUUUUUUUUUUGACCAAUUGAGUCAUAAACCUUUUACAAUUAUAUUUGAUUAGGCCAUCUGACCAAAAUUGGUUGGCCGGCGCUGAUGUGACAGCCGACCGGUGCUGAUGUGAUAGCCAACCAGCGCCAAUGUCCCGAUUAUAAAGCCAAAUCGUUAUGACACGUCUUAUACCAUGUCACACAAUUUCGUCCCAUAAUUAGGCAUAGACAAUUCAUAUUGUUGGUUCCAUCCACACCCGAUAUUCACUCUCAAUAUUCAAAUUUCCAAUCCAACCUCAACAUUUUCACUCAAUAAUUCGACUCAAUACUCAAUACUGGACUCAAGGUUCUAGAUGUGCCCUCUCCUCAUGAAAUUCUGACAUCGUGUGGCACUUAGUCCUUGACCACAUCCGUCAUAGUAUGAAAUACUAGAGGUGGUUCCCAUGAAUUUACACUGUCGUGUAGCACUUAGUUCUCGACUAUACUAAACAAUAGCUCAAAGUACUAGAGGUGGCUCCCACGAUUUCACAUAGUCGUGCAGCACUUAGUCUUGACUAUAAAAAAAAACACUAGUACAAUGUUCUAAAGGCAAUUCACACGAAAUCUUGCUAUCGUAUAGCAUUUAGUUUUUGACUAUGCAUGACAGUACUGCAAGGCUUCUAGAGGUGGCUCCCAUGUGACACAAUUCACCUUGUAGCACUUAGACCUUGACAACAAUAAGCAACUGUACAAGGUAUUAGAGGUGGCUCACAUGAAUUCUCAUUAUUGUGUAGCACUUAGUUCUUUAUCGGCUCACAACCCAAUAGGUUCCCUGAAUACAACACAUGUGUGGCAUCCCAAAAUUCAAGUCACCCUCUAGAGGAAUUAAAGCCAAUAAUUAGGUAAUGAAAUUACCUAUGGUUUAUGUUUUGGCUAUUAGUUUUCUUUUAAGGCUAUGUGUUAUGUGCUUGUGAUCAUGAGUUUUUAAAUAAGUAUUAUGGAAUAAAUUUAUGAGGAUGAUUUAUUCUUUGGCCAUGUGAAUUUUAAAAUUUAAAAUCUAUAAAAGAAAUAAUUAAAGAUAAAUAAUUGAAAGUGAAAUUUUGGGUUUAAUUAGGUUGGGCCUUAGGCCCAUUGGCCUAAGCUUUAGUGGGCCAAGCUAGUCGGCCCAAUUAGGCCCGCGGAUGGGGCUGCUGUCGCCGGCCCAUUGAGGCCCAAGGAGGUGUGGCCGUCGGCCACAAGGGAGGCCCAAGCCCAAGCCCAUGCAUGUGUUGUGAUAAGUGGCAAGAGGGAUGGCAUGCAUUGGCCAAUUGGGGAGGCAAGCUAAUGAUGAGGUUUAGGGGAAAUAAAAGGGAAGAAGAUGAGAGAGAGUGGCUGGUUGAUUCGGCCAAGAGAGAAAGGGAGAGAGAGAGAGAGAACCGUGCGAGAGAGAGGGAAAGAGUGUGGCCGAGAGGGAGAGGAAGGAGUCGCCGCCUGCUCGCCGCCGUGAGCCGCCCGUUCGCCGCCGUGUGCCGCCGUUCAUUCGGUCUAGAGGCAAGUUGGAAAUCCACUUUCUACUCUUGAUCCAAUGUCUUGCAUGUAUGGUCGGAAUCUAGAAUAUUUGGAGGCAUGGGAGUGAAGCUAAUGUGUUUUGUUCUUGAGUUGCAUGCUGUUUUCGCAUGAACCGUUUGAGUCAGAACUUUGUGAGAGCUUGAAUGCAUGUUUUGAGUUCGAUUUUGACUUUGAUCUCUUCAUGAAAGUUGUAGCUAACAUCUUAAAAUACAACAUACUAAAAUUUGGUGUAGAAUGAUGGAGAUUUAAGGGGUAAAACUCUCAUCCUACGGAGAUGCUAGAUCUGGAAUGUUUUCGCAUGAACCGUUUGAAUCAGAACUUUGUGAGAGCUUGCAUGCAUGUUUUUAGUUCGAUUUUGACAUUGAUCUCUUCAUGAAAGUUGUAGCUAACAUCUAAAAAUACAACAUAAUAAAAUUUGGUGUAAAAUUAUGGAGAUUUAAUGGGUCAAACUCUCAUCCUACGGAGAUGCUAGAUCUGGAAUGUUUUCGCAUGAACCGUUUGAGUCAGAACUUUGUGAGAGCUUGCAUGCAUGUUUUGAGUUCGAUUUUGACUUUGAUCUCUUCAUUAAAGUUGUAGAUAACAUCUUAAAAUACAACAUAAUAAAAUUUGGUGUAAAAUGAUGGAUAUUUGAGGGGUCAAACACUCAUCCUACGGAGACACCAGAUCUGGAACGAUUUCACUGACCUUUCGGUGGAUUUGUGGUUGCAUGCUGAUUUCUACUAAGAAUCUCUUUUCAACUUCUACAUGAAACUUGUAUAGAACAUCUUGAAUUUUAACAUACUCAAAUUUUAAGCAAAAUGAACAAGUGUAGCCUAGUGAAUCAACUUACUCUUAAAAACCGUAGAUCUGGAGACGCGGUACAGGUUACCCGAGACUUCAUGGACCCAUAUGGAGACUUUCCUUUGGAAAUAUGACUUAGAUCUCUUCAUGAAAGUUGUAGGGGACGUUUUGAAGUAAAACCUAUCCAAAUUUCAGAGGAAAAUAAGAAUGGUAAGUGGGUAAAAACUCAGUAUUUCGGAGAACCAUGCACUGGACGUCUCGGUAUUAGAUUCAGAAGCUUCGUGUGACUGUAGAAAAUAAUCUAAAAAGAAUUUAGCUUUGAAGUCUUCAUGAAAAAUCUACCUUAGUGUCUUGGAUAUAACCUGGUAAAAUUUCAUAAUUUUCGGAGGUCAUUUGGAUAUUUUAAUCAAAUUAUUUCGGAAACUGUGCAUUCUGUUUUUAUCCGAAAUUACAUGCUGUAUUUUUGUGAAUUUAUAAUUUUGUGUGGAAAUUGAUUGGCCUUGUGUUUUUCAUGAAAUUAUUACCCUAUUGUCUUGUCCAUCACUAGCCUUAAUUUCAUGAUUUUUGGGAACCAUGUGGAUAUUUAAUUUAAAUAUUUUCAAAAUAAUACAAGCUGGAAUUUAAAUAAUUUUUUUUAAAAAAAGGAGAGGGCAUGAUAAUGGACUAUUUUAAAUUGUAUGAAUUCCAUGAAUUUUAUCUUUAUGGAUGAUUGUACCUUGAUGCAUGUGUGAUAGGAUGAAAGUGAUUUUAUUUGCCAUUGCAUCUAGUGCCAUGCUAAGUGAGACCUAAAUUGGUAAAUGUGGACAAUGAUAAAUGAGGAAACUAUUAUGGCGGAUGAUAAUGCCCUAGGAGUAUUAGGAUGCCCGGGACGGGGGGUGCCAGAUGCUCGGAAUGUAUAGAGAUACAUGGCCGGAUGGCCCUGGGAGUGUCAGGAUGCCCGGAAUGGUUGGGUGCCGGAAGCCUCGGAGGUCUUUGCCCGAGGGGAUGCCUCGUGAUGCCAGUUGGGAUGCGAGAUGCCCAAAAUGUGGGGGUGCCGGAUGCCCGGUGGCCUUGAGUGGCUGAAUGCCAGAGGUUUUUUUUUUCUCGCGAUGCCAGGAUGGGGUGCGAGUGUAAAAUAUGGGAUGAAAUUGAUGAUCCCGAGAAAGAAUGAUGUGGUGAUCAAAUUGAAAGUUAAAAGUGGAAAUUGAAUCAUGCAUACAUGACAUGAUAUGAUGAUGAUCACCUAUGACAUGAUGUUAUGCAUGUAUAAUAAGAUAUGAUGAUGAUCACCUAUGGCAUGAUGAUGAUGUAUAAUAUGAUAUGAUGAUGAUCACUUUUGGCAUGAUGAUAUGCAUGUAUGAUAUGACAUGAUGAUGAUCACCUAUGGCAUGAUGAUGUGCAUAUAUGAUAGGAUGAUGUCAUGAUGGUAGUGAUAUAUGAUAUGAUAGGAUGAUGCAUGAUGAUGAUGAUAUGUAUAAUAUGAUGAUGCAUGAUAGUAUGGGCAUGGCUUCAAGGUAAGUAAACCCCUGCAAUGCAUGUAUGACUUGUAUUGCAUGUUGCAAUGAGUGGUUAUUGGAUUCCUUUACCUGCUGAGUGGUUGUACUCACCCAUUCUGGGACCAACAUUUCAGAUUAGCAGCAUGCCGCUCCAUACUGUCACGCGGGGUGUAUUUUACGGCCUACCUUCGGAUGUAGAGGUCCAGUGCGAGGAGUUUGACUGUCCUUCUAUUCCUGGUCUUACGUAUAUCCGAGUGCGUUGUUUAGUUAUGUACGAUGUGAGCUUGGCUGGGGGCCCUGUUGUCCAGGAGUUCAUAUCCGUGCAUAUUCGACGCAAUGGAGCGAUGCGUGGGAUGUUGCCGCCGCCACCGCCUGAUGCACCGGGAUGGGUGUGAGGGCCCGUGCGUGUUAAGUAGGAGCUGAAACUUUUUGGGAUGGUUAGCCGACACUAGCGAUGGGGGAUCUUACACGUGAGUUGUAGUGGGUCGAGUAUUUCUUUUUGGAUUUUAGGCCGAGUAUGGUUGAGUCAUGGCCUUUCUUUUGAUGUACCGACCCAAGGAAACCCAUCUUGAAAAUAUGUAAAUAAAGUGUCGUGGCUUUGUCUUUUAUUAUGAUGUUUAGUGGUGUGCAAUUGUAUCAUGGUUAUUGAAGGGAGAGAUGGCGAUGUUAUAUUUUGCUUCCGCUAAUGAGUCGCGCUGGGACUGUUUAAAAAAAAAGAAAGUGUCCAUGAUUUUACAACGCUUCUUAUAAGAGAUUAUAAUUAGGUGUAAUGUCAGGUGCCUGUGGCGACCCUAGGUGGUUCGGGGUGUCACAACAUGUCACCUCAAUUUUCAAUAGUCAUCUUGCAUUGACUAUAAACCAUCACACGAUUAAUCAAUCACGGCCAAGGCCAUUGUGCUUUGCGUACUAAUUCCUCAAUUAAAUUAUGAACUUGGCCUAUUUCCAUUGUGUUAAAAAUACCCGAUAAAAAUAAUCGUGUGUGGGUAUACGGUUGGCCUGAGCAAAAAAUGCAAUAUCUACCUUUUUAAAAAUCCCACUAUUUAAUAUAAUAUCUAAAAAAAAAAUUGGUGUAAAAAACCGACGCCCCGGUAUUUUCUGAUUAAAUACUAAAAUUAUACAAUUUUAGGAUAAAUACGCAAAAUUACAAAUUCCACUCGAUUUGCACAAAUUAGCACUCAAUUAAAUAAACCAAACACACCAUUGCAAUCAACACGAAAUUUCGGUCACCGACUAUUCCGGUAUAAUUUUCGGAAAGUAAUAAAUAAUUAAAUAAAUACUAAAAUAAAUAAAUAAAUGCAAUUAAUUACCAAAAAUAGCAACUUAGGUCGGAAAUGCCUAAUUAAAUACCGAAACAGGCCCGGAAAAUUUCUGAACCAAUCUAGAUAAAUAGCACGAUAUAUCUAGUCCCUAAUUAAGCUAUUCUAACCACCUAACAUACACAAACGAAUAAUUAAAUCGCUAAUCCGUGAUAACUAACCACCCAAACCUUAAUUAGCCUAAUCUAAACACUAAUUAAAUGUCAUUAACUCCCUAAGCAGAGUUUAGUGAGUAAACUCACCAGUUUUGUGAUCCGGUGAGUCCACGACGACGGCGAUGUGGAGACAAGCGAUAAACCUCAUAGCAGCGACACUAAACGGGGAUGGGACAAGCCUGAAAACGGGCCUUGAAGUCUACGAACCCUUGCUAGCUUCGGUUAUGUACGGCAAAGCUUGCUGGCCGAGGCUGCUGGUGGUGUCGCCAAGGAGUUUUAGUGGUCUCGGUGAGGUGGUGAGCUGGUGAAGAGUUGAGCCUUGGGGCGGUGGACGUGUGGGUUGAGUUGUGGCUGUUGGGUUCGCAGGAACGCUGGAGUUGGGCAGUGGCAUCACUGGAAUGGAGCUGCUACGUGGGUUGCUGCAGGCAUUGGACUCGAUGGAGAUGCAAGGGGCUGCUUUGGUGGAGAGGUGCAAGGGAGUUGGUGGCUUGGCAGAGGCGGAGGGAAGUUCGAUGGGUUGACUGCAACGCCUGGGAUGGUGGACUGACGAUGGUGGAGCAGCGAGCGAGGGAAUCGGUGAAGAUGGGAGCUGGCUUGCAAGUCAACUUUGGGCUUUGUUGGAGGGGGUUCUUCGCGGACGUGGCAGCAGACGGAAGGUCGGUGGAGAUAGGGCGGUGAUUUUGGUUGAGGGAUAGAGAAUAGUGUCGCCGACCGUCGCCGGUCGCCGGCGGGCGGUGACUGCAGGGUUUGAAGGGAGGAGCUGCUUUGGUGAAGGAACAAAUGAAAGAAAGCAAAAGACAGAGGGGUCAGGGGAAGUUGCACAUGAAUAAGAAGAGGGAUCAGCUAAGGCGUGCUCAAGAAGUUGGAGAAAAGGGGGGCCAAAGUCAAUGUAAAUAUCUCAUAUUCAUCACUUCUUGGUUCCACAAGCUUCCAUACAUAUCUCUUUUGUCCCCCCAAGCCUUUAUGCACAUAAAAUUCCACAAAUAACUAAGUUGAGGUCCAAUUGUUGCAGCUCUCGUAUUAGCUUACGAAUUUCACAAUUUUGGACUUAAAUUUCUUCACAAAUUCUCCAAUUUGAUGUCCAAUUUUGUUGAAGAAGAAGCCCACACAAUUUUCACAGUUUCCCUUCACUAAAUAGCUCAUUUUGGAGGCUAAAAAAUCCCUUUUAUUUGGCCCACCCGAAUUUCCUUUCAUUUUCCGAGUUGUUCGAAUUGAUUUUCCGUAAAAAUCCCAAGCUCGCCGAAAAUUUCUCGAAUGAUGAGUUGACGCUCCUAAAAUAAAUCGUGACAUGACAGAACUUUCAAUUUCUGAAAUCGGGUUCAAAUUCGUGGUUAAUUUCAAUCUGACGUAAUUUUAGUGUGACCUAACCUAUUGGUAACUUUUAGAAACUUCUAAUGCAAUUGACCCAUGGUCAAUUAUUUUCGAACCACAUUGUACAUUUUCGACACAUUGACAACUCUCAGUUGUCGUGAAAAUCUUGAGAUUUCAAAUAUGGACAUAGGGUACCAAAACGACAGAAAAAUCGUUCUAAUGUCGAUUGACAAGAAUUUUGUAAUUAGGUGGAAUCACCCACAUCUAAUCACACACCUCUAUCGAAUCAACCUAUCUCUGGUCUCGGAUCAAUUUUUAAUUAUGUCGUAGUGACCCUUGCAGAUUAGCACGGUCGAGCAGUCGAUUUAUGGUUGAAUUCUCAAGUCCAUUGUGUUUAUAUUCCUUAACGGCUUCACCUAAUAGGCUAGUUAUCUCGUGAGUGGCCAACUCAAAGAAAAUAACUAUAGGCGCAUCGAUGAAAAGCCCAACUUAUUCAAUCGAAAUCAGAACUUAAAAUUCAGGAUGUCACACUAAUAACAAAGGGAAAUCAUGCUUUCAAUUCUUAUCAUAAUUAUAUACAUUGGGUGAUGGACUACAUAGCAAAAGGAAAAACCUAAACUAGGAGGAAUCAAAAAGGAACUCAUCUCCCAAGCACCACUUCUAGCAGACGCUCUCACAAUUUUCCAUCAGUCCACGCCACUCAAUCACACAAUUCUACGCCCAAAAAGUUAUGACUAUGCAAAAUCAAAAGCAUUCCCCUUUCACACUACACCAUCUCCAGCUUCUACGACUCCCUAUCGUCUCCAUCAUCACCAUUAUGGUCAUCUAGGUAUGGAAUCAGUCCUUUGAGGUUCCUAUCUACCAAAAUAUAGAUGGUGACGAAAUGAUACGAUGUAAGACUCUCUAGCACACUUAUGUCCACCUUAAGAACCAUCAUGCAUCUCACAAAAACCACACCCGGAAUAGCUAGAUCCAUAAACCCAUACAAAUCACUCGUAAAAUCUAUUGGUUGCACCAUUACCAGAGGUGGAAGACAGUUGUUGAGGAAAUUUCCCUAAAUGAUUUUGAGGAUAAAAAAAAAACAUUUCCAUAAGUGUUUAAUGAUUCUGAUAAUGAUUUUUUCCAUGUGGAAACUCUGAUAUUUAUCAUCAAAUGUUACUUAUUAGACUCAGAGACUUAUCAAGAUGUUUUGGUUAUCUAUGAUGAAGAUUAUGUCAUGUCAUGAUAAUCAAGGACAACGGUGUAAUUUGUAUGAGGAUUGUCAAGACAAUACACAUCAUUAGAUGUUACGAGAAAUCUUAGAUCUUCACAGUUAGUUUAGAUCAUGUGAAGUGCAAUGGCUAGUAAUAUGGCUUGGAUUUUUUGCUAUAUUUAUUGAUUGUCCAUGAGGUAUGAAUAUCCACAUAAUCCUUCCUUGUUGGAGAUUUAUAAUCCAUGAGACAAUCAUUGAACACAAGGUGCACUUUCCAAAUGGAGUAAUCAACUUAUGGAAACCUUAUCUCUAUUGUAUGGGUAGCAAAAUCAAGGGAGACUCUAUUUUAGCAACCUAGAAGCAAUCGGAUUAUCCUGAAUCAUUUAGGUUUAACGGAUGCAUUGGAUGAAGAUCCUCAUAAUUUAUGUCCAACGGUCAUUUUGGACAUUAAAGAGUAUAAAAAGAGAUUAUGAUGUUGAAGGGAAUAAGAGAUCGGUAGUCUACAAAUUCCAAAGUUGAAAGAGAGUUUCAUCUUUACACUCGUCUUCAUGAGCUUAACUUGUAAUCUCUUAGAGGUUGUUUUCAGAGUGUGAGAUCGAAAGAUUGGAUCACACUUGAGUUGGAAGUACUUGAUUGUUGUAACCUCUAAUGGAUUCAUUAGUGAAAUCUAGCUGGUAAGUUGUCACCAUAAGAAAGUGUACAUAGGCUUAUCAAAAGUUGAACCAUUAUAAUUGUUAUGUGUAAUUUUCUCUUUCCUUUAAUCUCUUGUUUUUUAUUUAUUUAUUUAUUGCACAUAGUAAAAGUCUAAUUAGCACAUAGUUCUUCACCGGACACUGUAGAAGAUAUGAUCAUUGCAAAGUUUUUCAUCAAACUUUGUUAUUUUGUGAUAUUGAACUUGGUUUUUUUUUAAAAUUCCUCUUUAAUUGCUUACAAUCACCUAUUUACCUCAUGCUAGGUGAUAGGGCUAGCCAUUAUAAUAGGAGUCAGAGGCAUGGCCAAAGAUCUCUAAAAACAAUAGAAGUGAGCUAACACUCAACAAGAGAAAUAGAUAUCUCAUAAUUGAAUCCUUCCAAUCAACACUCAAUUCCUAGGACACUUCUAGCAUCAUAACAAUUAGCACACGAGAAUGAGCACACAUCACACAUUAGAUGCAAUAUCCUUGGUCAUGUGCAUAAUGAUCACACAUAUUUAAUGCAUCAUACACUUCAUUCUAAGUUACACCACUUUAUUUGGGUCCACCCCUAUCUUAUGGUUCAACCGGGAUUGCUAGUUGGCCUGUGCAAGUCACUACUGAUUUAAUGUUCGGAAUUCUGUGGUUUGCUAGUUGCAGGCGUUUCGCUACUAUCACCCAGAGUAUCUUGAUUUGCUACCCAAGACAUUCUCCUUUGGCAUCCAAUCCUAGCCAUAGCCGAGUUCUUAGUUUGUUAGCCAAGACUUCCACGGUUCUCUUUAACUGCAGGCAUUCUUGCUACAACCCAGGGCAUCCAAGGUUUGCAAGCCUUGGACAUCACGAAAUAGCAAAUUUUCUCAAGCACCACAGGCAUAUCAUACACAUGCAAUGACAUUAGAAUCAUAUGCUAUGAAUCACAUCCCAUUUAGCACACCUUUCACUAGGAAAGAUACUAUGUCAUCGCAAACAAUUUAAUGCCUCAUUAGUACACCCAAGCUAUUUACAAAUCAUAAAUUCAAGAAUAGGUGCUCAUGCAAUCAUCUCAAUUUUACAAACAAAUGGCAUUUAAAUUGAAGUCAAACCUAUACCGUGAGAUAGCCUAAUGAGUAUGAUUGCUAUCUCCAGUAGAGCACAAGCCAAGAUUCAAUCACCUCCGAACAUAAAUUCGUGAUUUACCAAAAAUGGGCAAAACAAAAUAGUUUUGAAUAAUCUUCGAAAUCAAAGUCAUUACUUUAUCAAAUGAACAUGAAAAAUUUUAAAAAUUUAAUAUGUUGUAAAAAAGAUCUUAAAUAACAUUUUUCAUGAAGGAACUAAGUGCAAAAAAUUUUGUAUCAAGAGUAGUAAUUCACACAAAAUAAAGAAGAAUCUGGUUCACUAGAAUAGAGCAACUAAGCUACAAGAUAUACUCAUCUCACAGCAGAAAACGUGUCAAAACAUUUUGAAAUUUGGAUAUGUUAUAACUAAAGAUGUCUUAUACAAUUUUUAUGAAGGAAGCAAGUCCAAAAUCAAUAGAGAAAAUGUUUCUAAAAUUCAAGAAAACAAUCGGGUCACUGUUCCUACUGCACUGGGCAGAUUAGACACGGUAAAUGAUUAGGCUUGUAUAUCAAUUAACCUUAAAAAAAUCUAAAAUUAAAGUAUGUUGUAAAUCAAGAUGUCUUGCACAACUUUCAUGAGAAAGUCUCAUCAAACUCGAACCACAGCAAGCUCCACCAAAUUAAUAAGUAGAUAAGAUCCAGCAAUUCUAGUUCUAGAAAUCCAAACUACAGCACAUGAACAAGUACAAAACUUGCACCACACGAAUUCAUUGCUUAAAAACAAAUCAAAACCUAAAGUCCCAAGUCACAUGCAACAUCCAUCUUCAAUUAUAGUCAACAAACUCUUUCAUAAGGGCCAAAUAAGCACAUGAAACUCACAUGCAAGACCAUAUAAGCCACCAAAUGCACAUUUUCUACAUCUACUCAAGCCAACAAGGACAUGCAAGUAAGAAGCAACACAAAACAGCUCAUAUUCUAGCAAACAUUGAGCCUCAAAAGGAUCGAGAAGAGUAAAAGAGAGCCACUUCUCCAUGCUUUGCUUCCCUUGAGCUCUAGACCUUCCUUCCUUGAAGAAGACUUGGAAUUCUUGAAGGAAAAUGCAAGAAAUGGAAGAGAAUGAGAGAAUGAUGUUCAAUGAGGGAGAGGGAGAGAGAGCUCACACGAGAAAGAGAGUGAGUGAGUAAAAUGAAAUAAGAGACGGAGGGGGAGAGAGAGAAAGGUCAAUUGAAUAAGGUGGAGAAGAGAAGUGUUUUCCCCAACACACUUCUUUGCAUGAAUCCUAAUUGGAUCAAGGAGAGGCGGCUUAAUCAUUAGGCUAAAUUCAGCCUAUUUUGCAAUUUAAAUUCAAUUGCAAGCAUUUCUAUUGGGCAAUAGGGGUGAAAAACAUAAUUAUUGUUUUUAAUUUCAUGCAAAAUAAGAAUAGGGUGGGCCACAUAUAUAAAUGCAUAUUAAAAGUCUAAUUAUGUCCUAAGGUACAACCUUAAGCAUAUACAAAAACCGUACAAGGCAUAGGUCACAUGCCUUCGUCCCUAAUUUGCUUAUUGAAUUGAUUGUUGAAAAUUUAAAUCCCUACAUGACUUACUAAUAGGGCUAGGUGGAAAUUGGGGAUGUCACAUAGUAGAUAUAAAUGUUAUCUUUGACAAAGUGAUUUGGUGAAAAUGUUUGCUGGUUGUUCCACUAUUCCAAUUCCUCUUGUCACAAGUAUCCUUUCUUGGAUCCUUUCUCAAGUGAAGUGACAAUCAAAUUUUAUGUACUUAGUUCUUUCAUGAAAGACUUGGAUUUGCUACCAAUUUAAGUGUAAUAUCAUUAUUACAAAAUAACUUGGUUGAUCCAUUGACUUUUACUUUGAGGUCCAAGAGUAAACCUUGUAUCAAAACUAUUUUGCAAAUGUUCACCCUGACUCGAUACUCUGAUUCUAUGAACGAUAAUGAUCGACUAUUUCUUUGUCUUCCCUGAAAUAAAUUAUUUUUCUAUUUUGAUACAAAAACCAGUGACAUAUUUUCUAGUCAUUAGACAAGCAGCAUAAUCUAUAUCACAAUAGAUUGUCAUCUUCAUAUGACAACCUUGAGACAAAAGUAUAUCAAGUCCUGGACAUCCCUUCAAGUACUUCAUGACCUUUAGUGUCGUAUUCUUAUAAGACUACUUUGGGUUGUGCAUAAAUUUAUUGAGUAUUUGCACUGCAUAACAUAUAUUAAGUCUUGUCAGGGUAAGAUAUUUUAGUUUUCCAACAAGCUGUUGAUAUCCUAACAGGUCUUUAAGCAAUGAGUCCUUGUUGAAUGAUGAAUCCACGUCAUAUUCAUGUGAUGUCAACUUGAUAUUAUGCUCAAUUAGUAUAAAAAUUGGUUUACAAGCUGAUAAUCCUAAUUUUGAGAUAAUUUCCAAAACAAAUUUCCAUUGGCUAAGACAUAUUCCCUCUUUGGAUUAAGCUAUCUCAAUCCCAAGAAAAUAUUUAGGAGGUGUUAAAUCCUUUAUGUGAAGAGUAGAAUGCAGACAUUCUUUGAAUUUCCCAAUGGUAAAUUCAUCAUUUCCCAUGAUAAACAUAUCAUCAAAGUAUAUCAAUAAAUUAAUUGACAAUGUACCUCUGGUCAAUGUAAAUAGAGUAUAAUCAUGCUUGGAAUACUGAAAGCCUACGUUUGUGAGUGCAUCAGUAAACUGGGCACACCAUUAUCAAGAAGUUUGCUUAAGCCCAUAGAGGGAUUCACAAAGACAACGCGCUCGAAACUCCUUCCCUCUUCGUAAACCACGUUGUUUACACCUAAAUGUUGGCGAUCUAUUUAGUCAUUUAUUGCAUAAAAAAAUUAGGGAUUAAUUUUAUCCCUGAAAAAAUAUUAAUUGCAUAGCAUAUAAGUUUAGGUGCAUUUGUUUUUAAUUUGCAUUUUUUUACACUUAUUUACUGGAUCAAUGGCGGAUGGGUCGAAUUAGUGGUUUUAGGUUUUAAAUUAGCAGACUGGGCUAGGCCCACGAAAAGAGUACAAAUUGGCCCGAGACCGUUUUCUGAAAUUGCGAUUUGAAAUGAGGAUUUUUGAAAUUUAAGAAAAUUAGGUUUUGAUCUUAUCUUUAAAAAUCAAUAGAAAAUAUUUAGGAGAUAAGAAAAAAAAGAGGAUUUUGUGAUUCGGAGGUUAUAGGAAAAUCUUCGUGUAUAUUGAAAAGUGGAUGAAAUAUUUCACGAAGAUUUUCAUCUUAUUUGCCUAUAAAAGGGAGCCGUAUACGAUGAGAGAACGGGGGCUUCGCUGAAAAGAAAAAAGGGAAGAAAAAAAGGUCAAAGAGAAGUUUUGCUUCUGCAGUAAAAAAAAGAAAGAGAGAAAGAGUACGAAGGAAGAGGGAGAGUGACGUGAGAGAGGGAGAGAGAGGAGAAAAAGUAAAGUAAGAAGGCUGAUUUGACUCAUACUGUUCAUCUUCCUCGCCGUUCCUCUCGCUGCCCGAUUCGCCGCGCCUCCAGUCACAGAUUCGACGCCGGCCACCGCAUCGGUGUUUCCUCCGCCAGCCCGUCGUCGUUCGUCCGCGAAGCUGCCCCCGCCUCUGCACCAGUGCCGUCGCAGCAGCUCACCCGUUCGUCGCUACUGGUCGCCGCACCUCCUCACCACCACGAGCCCCGCACCCUGCGACACCCCCUCGCCGGUGCCCUGCUUCGCCGAAGUCCUUUGCCGGUGUCAAUCGUCCGUGAAGCCCGACGCCAGAGCCAUUCCUGCCCUGCGCCACCCGCUCGAAGCCGUGAGUCCACUGUUCGCUGAUCCACGAUUCCGACGCUGCUGCUGAACCGCUCCACUAACCCGACGAAGCCACCGCCGAGCUGAUCCGCGACGACGCUGCUUCCCUUGCCCUGUCCGCGAUCCGCCCACCACGCCACCGGAAUCCCUCUGCACCCGCGAGCCCGUCCCGACGCCACUGCAAUACCAGUCACUGCUGCAACUCCGAGCGCCGACGACCGCGCGUCUUCCUCCGCCUGCACCUCCCGUCGCCGGCACCGCGACGCCACCCGCGACCUGCUGCUGCCGCCGGACCGCUCGCUACCGAUCCACCCGUUGCUGGUCCUCGCCGGAGCUCUGAACGCCGGCGACCCAACCUCCGGUGAUCCACCGAAGUCGCUCGGCCGUGGGUGAAGCAAGCAGGAAAAGAAAAAAAACAAAAAGAAAAAAGGGAAUCCAAUUAGGUAGAUUAGUUUAUUAUUAUUAGUAUUAUUAUUAUUCUCGUUUAUUUAUUGUGCUUUAUUUGAUAGCUUUCUUUAAUUCAUUUACAUUGUAAUAUUGGAUGUCGAUGCUUAUUUCAAAAUAUCUUACAGGCAUUAUCCAUAGGGAUAUUCCCUAAGAUUAUUGUAAUUAUUAAUUUGACCCGUAAGAUAUCGAGUCAUUUUUUUAAUUGUAUUAAUUCUUGGGGUUUUGUCGAUAGCACAUUAAUUGUGGAAUCAAUAUAACUAUUAAUUUGAUCCGUAAGAAUUCGGAUCAAAUUUUUAGUUAUUUUGAUCUUUUUGUCAUGACAUUCAGGAUUAUAAUAAUCAUUAAUUUGACCUGUGAGAUGACAGGUUAUUUUUUCGAUCAUUGUAAUUCUUUAUUUGAUUGGAUGCCUUGAUUAGUUUAGAUUUAAUGUUUAGUUGGUAAUUGCAUUAUUUAAAAAAAAACCACUAAAAAAUCUAAAAAAAUAUUUGAAUUAGGAUUCAGUUUGUUUUGGAAUAUUUCUUGUUAUCUUGCAUAUCUAGAAUAUGGAUUUUAUUCCGAAUUUAAAAAAAUAAAAAAUGCAAAAAGAAAAAUGCAUUCAUUUAGGAUUUUAGUUGCAUGUUUAAUUAUGUGGCAAUUUUAAAUUUUGAAUUUUAAAUAAAAAAUAAAAGAUAAAACAUAUCAUGCAUAUGUCAUGUAGAAUUAGGGCAUGCUCCGCACGUCAUUGCAUAUUAGAUAGAUCGCAUGUUAGAUUAAGAUAAUGUUUUAGUUCAAUUAGGAUUUAAUGUGACUUAAUCAUUAGUUUAAAUUAGAUAGAAUUUUAAUCUAGCUAAAUCAUAUCAAGUGCACGUCAUUUAGUUUUUAUUAGGUUCAUUUAAUUAGAACUUCUUCGUUAUUAGAUUAAGUCAUUUAAUAAAUGUCGCAUGACAUAUAACUCGCAUACUAAAUUGUAUGCUGCAUGUCAUUUUAGGUUAAAUAAUUUUGUAUGUCAUUGCAUCGCAUCGCAUGUCAUUAGAAUUAGGUCAUUUAGAUUGCAUUUAAUUAUUGCAUUUCUUCAUGUCAUAUAGUUUAGGUCAUGUUGCCAUGUCAUAUUAGAUUAUUAGCAUGCAUCGCAUGAUUCUCAUUAAAUAAAGUGAAAACAAAAAUUAAGUAAUUGCUUGUUAAUUAGAAACCAUAUCUAGGGUUGUUGAUGUGGAUUUUAAUUUAACACUGCAGAUGCUUGCUUUCGUUGCUUUUAGGUAAAUUCUACAUUAUUUAAUUGCUUUUUUGGGUGAUAAAUUGGUGAUAUGCGCACACGUAUGAUCACCUCACAUAUUAGGAAGUUAAAUUAAAAUCAAUUCAAUUGCCAAACAUACUUUUGAAAAUGAAAUAAAAAGGUACCGAAAAGGCACUAGGAUAGUCUAGUGUAACCAAGUCCCCGAACUCAUAAAUCUCUGGUUCGUAGGAGUAAAGUAAAUCUCCCGUUACUUUACUUGGGUUUCUAAUCGACCCACCAAAAAUAGAUUAGUGGCGACUCCUGAUUAAAAAUCAUUUGCAUGUUAAGAAUUCAAACUUAAGUCACGAAUUGGUAUGGGCUUGGGAGAGCUCGAGCUAAGCUUAAAGACUUAGUAAUCCAUUAACCUAGUUUUAGGUGAUGAACCUGAAAAAUUUAGGUCGCGACACACUUGGAAUUUUCAUAUAGAUUUUUCCUUCUAGGAUUCCCAUGGAGAAAAGCAUUGUGGACAUCCAUGUGGUGCAAUUGCUAAUUGCACAAAGUAGCAAUGGAUAGAAAAGAUCGAAUGGUUAUUUCGGCAAUUAGGGAAAAGAUCUCAUGAUAAUCAAAACCUUCUUAUUAUGUGAAUCCCUUAGCGAGUAAGCGGGCCUUGUAUCAUUCAAUAGAUCCAUCUACUUUAAGUUUGAUAUUGUAUAUCUAUUGCAACUAGUGGGUUUACAAUGUGAAGGUAAUUGAAUAAUAUCCCAAGUAUGAUUUUUCGUAAGAGCAUGUAACUUGACCUCCAUAACUUUUUGUCAGUGAGUAUCACGUGCUUCUUUUUAUAUAUAAGGAUGGUUCUUGUUUCUUGGAAAUAUGACUGAUACAAUAUGUGUGUUUUAGGGAUAGUCUACUAAAUGAAACAUAUGAGGAUAUUGGAUUAUGUGUAUCUGGGAAUGCAAUAUAGGACAUAAGUAAUCUUUGGUCCAUGUGAGGGGCGAACAAGAUGUCUAGAGCGUCGAGGUUGUUUAGUGAUUGUCUAUUUAGUAACCGCCAUGCAAGAUCCAUCAACAAAAGGUUUUGAAGAUACCAUUGGUGAAAUAGAUAAAUGAUUCUCCUAAGAUAAUCUGGACGAAAACCCAAUUGAUUGGUCCAAGGAAUUAGGACUGGUUGGCGUAGGUAGGGAUAUCAGAACUGAACUGAAAAAUUGAGCCAAAAUCAAAAUCGAACUAAAUCAAACCAAACCAAAAUUUCGUGCAUUUUUUAUUCGGUUUGAUUUGGUUUUCGGUUUGGAUAAACGAAACAUAACCAUUCUUUUUUCCUAUUUGGCUUAGUUCAGUUAACCAAGUUGAACCAAAAUUCUCAACAAAACUUAGACGCCCAAUUUAAAAUCUCUUUUUUUUUUCUCACCAGUUAUUCAGUUCAGUACUAAUAAGUAAGGCAAAAAUAGGAAAAUCGAAAUACCAAACCGAACCGGGUGUAUUCAUUUUGAGUCGGACUUGGUUUGGUUUAAAUUCACACCUUAUCAGUUCGAGUUACCAAGAAAAUCAAACCGAAUCAGAUUGUAAACACCCCUAGGCGCAAGUGGUUUUGGUGCAACAAAGAUGUACUAGGGGGCCAUGGAUAGAUCAUCUUUUAACAAAAAAAAUCUGUUGUUGGAUCUCAAUAGAGAUGAUUGGGAUGAAGAGGUCAUCUCCUGAAAUGGGAACACAUCUUCAUGGAAAACUGCAUCUCGACUUACGUUGAAAUGGCUUGUAGAUUUUUUCAUAACCCAAUAGCCUUUCUAUAGAGAAGAGUAUCCUAUGAAAACACAUCAAAAGGGUGUGGCAAUCUAUUUUAUCCCGAGGGCUCAUAGUUGUCACAUAAUAUAAACAUCCAAUAACUCUUAAAUUAUCAAUUCUAAGUUCUUUCCUAAAAAGCAUCUCAAAAGGAGUUCAACCUUCAAGGAUUCAAGUUGGCAUGCGAUUAAUUAAGUAGGCUGCCGUCACCACACAAUCUCCCUAAAAUAUUUCAAGAAUUGAAACUUGAUAUUUUAGAGCUCGAGCGACUUCCAAGAGGUGUCAACGUUUGUGCUCAACAAUCCCAUUUUAUUAGGGAGUAUAAGUACAUGAACUUUUGUAGAGCAUUCCUUGAGAGGAUAAAAAAGAGUUGCAUUCACUAGUGAAGGACUCGCAUCCAUUAUGUGGAAGAAUUCUUUGGACAAAUUUGUUGAAGUGAUUCUUAACUAAGGAGAGGAAUUUCGAUAGGAAAAGGUUGACUCUUGGAUUACAUAAGGAAGACCUAGGUGGCACGGUAUAAUCAUGGACAAUAGUGCAAAAAGAAAAAGGAAAAGAAGAUCCAUCAGGAUGUGGAGUAUGAUAAUGAUCCUAGAUAUCCAUAUGGAUCAAGGAGAAUGCACUAGUAGCUGGAGAUGUACUUGUUGGAAAUGGUCCCUAUAACCAAAGGGUAAAUUAGACAUUUUGGGUGAGGAAAACGAACACUGUGACCAAACGUUGAUGAGAAAUAAAAGUUUUAUUACUAAUAGUAGCAUUACAAGAAAUGCUCUUAUUCAACAAUAUAAAGUUUUUGGAAAAAUUGAUCGAAAAACAUAAUCCUUGUGCAAUAUUACCUAAGCCCAUUAGCUUCCCAGUCAAAUGGUUUGAAAGAAGUAAAUUUUAGAAUUGAAUGUUGCAUGGCAAGAAUUGUCCUCGUAAAUUUUGGAAAUAGAUAUGAGAUUGAACUCUACAUCAAGGAUGUAAAGGACAUUCUUUCUUGAGGAUAAUGUUUGGGCUAAGAUUGACAAUGCCAAUUUUAUUGAUAUAAAUAGGGUUUUCAUUUGGGAGACAUAUUGAUACGCAAGAUUUGUGUCUUUUCUGAACAUGGAAAAAAUGCUCGUUGCAAAUUAUAUAGUCAUUGGCAUCUGAAUCAAUUUUUUAUGCAUCAACUAAAAUAAAAUUCCUUUUUGAGAAAGAAAUACCUGAAAAACUCUUAGUCUUAUCAAUAGUUGUCAAUUGACUCAGAGUUUUCAUAAUGUUGUGAUAUUGAUUUAUGGUAAUUGUCUAAUGCAUUCUUUUGGUGCCUUGUACUAAAACCUGGUAAGUAGAAACUUCUCUUUCCCUUUUUCUUUAUCAUUUGUCUUGCCAAGCAAAUUUCAACACGUACUAGCAGUAUGAUAUGGGCAUUAGCAAUAAUCACAAAAUUUAUCUUUUGUUUUGGAUUUUUGUCCACCAUUCUCGCACCUUGUGAACCAUUAGAUGAUUUAAAGAUUGGGGCUGACGUGGCCUGACAUGGGCCUUUAGUUUAGGCCAAAUAGCUAAUUAAAUAGUUGUCGUUGGAUCCUGAUCUCUGAUCUUGGCCGUUUGUUCGAGAAAGUCCUCUAGGGUUUUUUUUUUUUUAGCAGACACCGCUUGUUGAUGCUCCCAAGGUACUCGAAGCUUCCCAGACUUAUUUAUGGUGGCUCCGUUGAAGCCGUGAGGGUGCCUUCAACUCUUCUGUGUUUGGCUGUCACCAACCAUUGGCCUUAUUCUAGGACAGCCAACUAGUAGAUCUGGUCGAGCAAUGGCAUUGGUUGCAUUGCCAAAAUCUGCCAUUGGAAAUGUGAGAAUGUUUUAUUCAAGAUUAGCAAGAAUCGAGUCACUUUCUUCCUCUCCUUCAUCACUUCAUACUGUUGGAGGUUGGUCUCUGGUCCCCUGAGUUGCUCCUCGAUUGACUCAAGCUUAUUUCACGGAUUGAAGUAAGCGAUGGUUGAAAGGUUCCCUUCUUCAAUUCCAACAAUAACCUAAGUGAGCCAAAACAAUUUUGCUCAAUCGAGCUUCUUGUACAUUUCAAAUAUGUUUUCCCAUAUCUCUUUCAAGUUCUCAAUUAGUGGAAGUCUAGCCAUGACAUCGGGUGUUAAGCACUUCAAUUGGUUGCGCUUUUGUCAAUGCUGUUGCAAUUGUUCAUUGGUUGGAAAUGGGACAACUCCAUCGAGGAAACCGUCCUUAUCUUAGCCGGAAGUUGCGAGCCCAAGCGAUAUAGUUAUCCCGCAGAUGAGCUGUAGAUUGAUGAGACGAAGGUCUGGUCUGUUGAUCGGUGAGGUGUAGAGAGGGUCAUUGGACUCCAGGCGGGUUGCCACUGGCUGGAUUGUUUUACCCGGGAACCACGCUCACCCCUAGUCCUUGGACCCAAUUGAGUGGAAUUGAGUCUAUGAUCCGGACUAGUCUAACCCAAUCCAUCAGCUAGUUGGGUGCCAAAGCCUGGGGCUCUUUGUUCUCUAAAUUGGUCUUUUUGUGCCCACGUCUGGCUUGGUCUAGUGGUCCAUUGGCCUUGAACCGAAGACUAGUGGACUAGUGGCCACUGGACUGGGCCGAAAACUUAAAUAGGAGUAGGGUCAGUGUGUUGAACGGAAGAACUUUCUUCUUCAACUGGAUUAAUUUGAUUAGAAUCUUGGUUUCGAGGUAAAUUGUUUCUUUCCUUUUUUGUGAUUUGAUUUUUUAACAUGGUAUCAAAAAGUUUGAAUUCCUACCAGGGUGCUGUUUUGUUUUGUAGAAUUAGGAUUGCAACAACAAAAAAUAGAACAAAACUGGAGGCAAUUCUAAAAUCGCAAAAGCUAGGCCAGGAAAGAAAGUUUUGAUACCAUGACAAAAAUCGAAAGGAUUGGAGGAAAUUCUAUUAUGUUGUAUCAAUUUGUGUACACAUAAAAAGGUCCAUUUAUAAUACAAGAUAAUUGAAAAUAGGAAAAUGAGUAUUUAAGAUUACAAUUCCUAUUCUACAUAAUCAAUUACAGAUUGACACAAUCAGAAUCACAAUCAAUAACCUUCAUAUAUUCAAUCAUAUCUUUAACAUGCAGUAACCGGAACUUUCUAACACCUGAGGCCAAGAAGACAAGGUCUGUUUGUUUGAACCAUCACUUUAUGGCCUUAAUCAAUUUCCUAUAUAAUGGUACAAUUGAUUUGACUCCUUUAUGUGUGGUUAGUAGUAUAGAAGGAGUUCUUAUGAAAACGGUGUAGUAUAGAGGUUCAAGGAUGUUAGCUAUUGCUGGUAGAUAUUUUAUAAUAUGAACAUGUCCAAUAAUGAUGAACUGAAACGGCGAUUAAGAAGUGAGUGAUAAAAGACCUAGGUGGUAGACAAACAUAUACUGUGCAGAGAGAGAGAGAGAGAGAGAGAGAGAUUCGGCUAUCACCAGGUGAAGUACCGAGACAGCUUAGCGUGCAAAACGCCAAACUCUGAGUACCCAACUAGUUGCACAUUUUAAGCUUUCAACUGAUCUUGAAGCAUGGUCAAAAUAUGAGAAAGAAUACUUGAAUUUUCGCGUACUAUUAGUAUUGUGAGUAGUUAUAUGACUUAUCUUGGUAGUUAUAUGACUUAUCUUGGAAGGAAACACUGGGAAUAGGUUUUGUGAUAGGGAUAAUGGAUGUUUGUUUUCCCAGAGAUCCUUGAUAGGUUACAUGUUAAGUUUUGUAGGUUGUGCUUUUAGUUGGAAAGCGUAAUUAUUGCUGAUAACUGUUUAGCCAAAAAUUGAAGUAGAGUAUAUGACGUCAAUCAAGGCAAUGAAAGAAGUUGUAUGGCUUAGAGGUUUGCUCAAUGAUAUGGGAAGAUAGUAGGAGAAUAUCGUUGUUUACUACAACAAUCAGCGUGCAAUACAUUUGGUUAAAAAUCGAAUGUAUCAUGAUGUCAAGUACCACUUUUGUACGUGAUUUCAUCCAACUGGAAACCGCAUCCGUUGAGAAUGUGCACAUGAUAGAGAGACAUAUUAAUGAAGCUUAUUCCAUUAAUAGGGACAAUGACAUCUGUUAAACAUUUUGUGAAGAAAUGAACUCCCAGAGAUCCUUCAUAGGUUACACGUUUAGUUUUGCAGGUUGUGCUAUCAGUUGAAAAGCGUAAUUAUUGCUAAUAACUGUUUUACCAACAACUAAAGUAGAGUAUAUAACGUCAAUUGACGCAAUGAAGGAAGUUAUAUAUGGCUUAGAGGUUUGCUCGAUGAUCUGGGAAUAUGGUACGAGAAUAUUGUUGUUUAAUACAACAAUCAAUACAUUCAGUUAAAAAUUGAAUGUAUCAUGACCGUACCAAAAUACAUUAAUGUCAGUUGCCAUUUUCGUAUGUGAUAUUAUGCAGUGGGAAACCGCAUCCGUUGAGAAUAUGCACAUGACAGAGAGACAUAUUAAUGAAGCUUAUUCCAUUGAAUAAGUUCUAGUACUACUAAUUGGACUUUGGUGAGUGUCUGUAGCAUGUCAGGAGCCCAGAGAGGCUCGAGGAAGACGAUGAUCAUGAUGAUGAAGUUGGACUUUUUGCUGAGGUGGAGAUUUAUUGAUUAUGGCCUGAAGUUAUCAACUAUUUUGAAGUCUGAACCCACAGAUGAAUCGCAAGGUAGCCUGGGCCCCAAAUUAGACUCUCGUCAGGACUUUGGACAUUGCAAAAGAGAUUCGGAAAAGACUUAUUUUCCUAAUUGAAGAAUGGCUCUUAAUUUGUUGCAUAUAAAUAUACUUUUGUCAAGUUUGGUCUGGUGUGCAUAAUGAGUGCGUUUAACAUGUAUGAAGCUGGCGAGAUACAGAAAGUAUCGAGAGCAGUCAUCCAAGAGAGUUGAUAACAUGAGGAAACUUUUUGCCUGUGAUUGAUUCAUGCGAUUUUGGAUUUAUUUUAGGAUCGGAAAACACUUAUUAGUGACUGCUGCAUCAAUUAUAAUAGAAUCAUUCCGUCGAUAUCUCUCAUUGGAGUAGACACACCGCCAGAUCACUUAAAUCUGUUAUUUUCAGAUUUUAUUUCUACAAUUUAUUUCUUAUUCAAAUUGUUUUAUUUAUUCAUAUUUCCGCGGUAGUCACACAGAUUCGGUAUCUUGAACCAAUUUUAUUAAAGGUGAGGACAUGGUACAAGACACAUUUACAGCGACAUCAUAGAGAGUAGAGGUGGCAAAAUGGGUCUUAGACCCAUAUAUGACCUAUUUAAAUCAUAAAUGGGUCAUUUGUUUUUUUGAAGAAACUACUUAAAUGGGUUUAAUAAUUAAAGACUUAAGAUAUGUGGGUCUUAGGUUGGAUUUAGAACCCAUUUUCAACCAAAACCACACAAUCUCCAUCUUCCCUCUUUAACUUUACAAAUAUAUAUAUAUAUAUAUAUAUAUAAAUUGAAAUUAUAAUUUUUUUAUUAUAAUUUUCUUUUCUUUUUCCGUUUUUCUUUUUUCUUUACUUUUUUUUUUCUUUCUUCUUCCUUCUUCCGGUGGUUAGCAUGGCGAUGGCCAACGAUUGACCAAGCGAGCCUCGAGCUCGUUGGAUCUGGUGAGGCGGAGGCCUUGCUGACAUCCGGCAAGGCUCGAGCCUCGCCGAUCAGGCGAGACUCGAGCUCGCUGAUGUUGGGCGAGCCUCGAGCUCACCAGCAUCGAGCAAGCUCAAGCUUGUCAGAUCUGGCAAGGUGGAGGCCUCGCGGAUAUUUGGCGAGGUGGAGUCCUUGCCAAUCUAGUGAGCCUUGAGCUCGCCGAUGUCGACGAGUCGGGCGAGCUCGAGGCUUGCUUGUGGCCGGCGACCGGCCAAAGAAGAAGAAGAAGAAGAAGAAAAAAAAAAUAUAUAUAUAUAUAUUCUUAAAAAUAAAAAUAAAAAUAAUUAAAAAAUUAAUAUUUUAGGAAAAUAAAAAAUAAUUAAAGUUCGAUUUUUUAAAUAAUUAUUUUAAAAAUUAUAAAAAUUGUCCAUUAAAUUUGUGUUAUAUAAAACCAUUUUAGCAAUACCAUUUUUAAAAUAUAUAUAAACUUUUUUAGGUUUCAUUAAAUGGGUCGGGUAUGGGUCGAAUACGGGUCGGGUCGGGUUUGGGUCAAAAGUUUUGCACCAUAAUAAAUGGGUCAUAAACGGGUUAAAUGAAUCAAUUUUGAUCGGACCAUUUAUGACUCGACCUAAACUCGACUUGACCCACCCGUUUAACAGGUCUAAUAGAGAGGCCUAGCAUGGUAUUUUACACCCAACACGGAGAACACAUCCUCCGAAAGCAUGAGAGAUCAUGUGCACCGAUAUGUACAAUAAGCGACUCAUUCGCGAGAGACUCCAACCACCUGUUUCCCAACAUUGCUACCGGAAAACAACCCAAUCAGAUGGUCUGCUCCCUUGUAAAGAGACGCAUCUACACUCAAAAGACAAACAGAAAAUAACCCCUUUUGGAAACACGAGGAAAAGAGAGAUUAUGCCGAUGAAAAAGUACAGAAAGCUGAAUCAUUUGUGAGAAACCACGACCACCUGUUUCCCGACAUUGCCACCAGAGAACACCCCGGCAAGAGCUGCCGGACCGUUCUCGAGCCAUUCCGCUAUGUCUUCCACGGACACAAUCUUCCCCUCUUUGAUCUGAGGCAAUACCUUCUCAAGGAACUUCGGGUAGAGAUGAUAGUAAUUGGACACCAGGAAACCUUCCAUCCGAACCCCGUUUCAGGACAAGGUUCAUCAAGUUGUGUACGCCUUCAUGCUGCUUGAGGUUGUACUGUGAGAUCAUUCCGCAUACUGUGAUUUGGCCAUGCAGUUUCAUGUAUAGCAGCACGGCAUCAAGCAUCUUUCCACCGACAUUGUCGAAGUAGAUAUCGAUUCCCCCAGGGAAGCAUCUAAACAUUUAAGACAGAAAAAUGUCAACUCGAGCCAGCUUCAGAACAGGUACAUUUUUAAUAUUUUGUACAUCAGUAACUCAUUUGCUCAAUCAUCGUUAUUAUAUUUCUGGCUCACCUUUUCAAUGCUGCAUCCAGAUCCAACUCCUCCUUGUAGUUGAAAGCAUCAUCGAAUCCAAACUUGUUCUUCAGCAAAUCAACCUUUUUCAUGAACAUAACAGCAAGAGAGAAGUCUAAGUAAGAUAAAAUCCAUAAGAGACUAUUAAGACUGUAUUUUUAGCAUUUAUGUUUAGUGAAAUGAUGAGGGUACACAUUCAACACUGCCAUCAGUGUCUUGAGCAUUCUCAUAGUUGAGAUAUACAGCAGUAACAGCAUUCAUCAUAUCUCAGGUGCUUCUUUUAGAUCUUAUUCUAUUUUAGACGAGAGGAACAUGUGUUCCAUUUCAAACGCUUGUCUAGUCACUCAUUAUGAAACAAAAGUGAAAUUUGCAGAUGCCAAACAUGCUUGGUGAACCAUUAACAUCGACAUGAUUUUGUGCUUCUUUAAACACUAGACAUGUGGGAUGAUUACCUUCUCUUUGCUACCGGUGCUGCCAACAACAUAACAACCCAGCACCUUUGCAAACUGGCCAACAAGCUGACCAAUGGCUCCUGCCGCCGCCGAUAUGAAAACAAUCUCUCCUUUCUUAGGAGAGCAUACCUCGAAAAACCCAGCAAAGGCUGUCAUGCCUGGCAUACCUGGAAAGUACCGAUUUGCACAAAUUAGAUGAGUUUCAAGAUUUCCUGAAGCACAGGAGUAGGAGUGUAAACCUGUGGCAUAAUCUCAAGUGAUCUGAUUAAUUGAACGAAGGCAAAGCCCCUGAGAAAUGGAUUGACUUCUCAGAGGAGGCUUCUAUUUCAUUGAGAACUAAUCGAUUUACACAUUCAUUCAACACGAAAGACAGUUUCGCAGGGCUCUAGUUUUAAGGCAAUUCAACGAGGGCAUAUGGCUCUAUAACAAGGAAGAUCCCUACAAGUAAAAAUUCAAGGGAAGCACACCUUUUCCUUGCGUAGCUGGAGGCUGUUCGUACUUGAGAAUGAAAUAGACAGAACAAAGUAUCUUAACAAUCUGAUUCCCAUCAUUCUUAAACACUGAAAGACAUAACACACCAGAAGAUUAAAUAGCAUACCCAAAAGGCCGGUGUAGGAAGACAGGGGAACAUCAGAGUGUUCAAUUUUAACGCAAGUAUCUGGCGCAGUAAUUAGACUAUACUCCUCCCAUCCAGUGAUGCCCCAGACCAAGUCGCCUGUCUUGAAGUUUGGAUGCCCAGAUUCCAAAACUCUAGCUACUCCAUAUCCAUGAAUAGGCUGCUUCAAUAUGUUAAACACCUCAGAAUAUAAGUGCACAUCCGUUUAGCUAUCACGAAUAGACUUUGAGCUGACAAGAAGGGAUGAGUGUGCUUCCUUUGAAUUUUACUUGUCGAGUAAACUCAGUCGCAACUUUGAGUUUGAUGUAGACAUGCGAGGUCAUAACUUACUGUUGGCAUCAAUAUCGAAUCAAUGUGACGAGAGAGGUGGCGGUACUUACGGAGCCGAGAGGAGUGAAGUGCUUGAUGAGGUUGAGAUUGUAGGAAUCGCAAGCCAGGUACAAGUUCUUCACCGCAAUGGUCCCUGAAUCUUUGUCGGCCUUCAGUCUCUCCGAACUCGUCUUCACUUCCAAGUGGGUCUCUGUCAGGGAAUAUUGGACCUCCUCUCUGUAUAUUACCUGUUUGUUGCUCAUCACUUCCACUGAAGCAUUGGGACUCUCCUUCUCCAUUCUCUCUCUCUCUCUCUCUCUCUGUGAGAAACAUGGCCAAAUAGCGCUCGUGCAUUUAUUGGGAGAGGGAUAAUGAGAUAUGCUUACGUGUGCUCGUAUGUCAUCGGCACGAACGCUUACGCAUGCCGUUGUGUCAUCGGUGGAAAUAGUAUUUUACUCCUAGGGAACAAAAGCAGUUGAUCAAAGUGGCCAAUUGACUUCUACUCAUUAGAAACUUCUGUGAUUUGUGGUAAAACGUAAAGGAAUAUUUUACGUGGUAAACGAAGAAUUUAAAGAGAAAUCUGAAAGGGUUGUUAAUUGGACACUUUCUUUACGAGUCCUCUCUUCUUGUCCCUUUUCGUUAGUGCUGGAUCUUGUUUUCCACUUAGAUAAAGGUAAGUGUCUGUAAUUGACAGAUAAGUAUAUGAAAACCCUAAAGUUUAUUGUGAUCAAAGUGGCCAAUUGAAUUCUACUCAUUAGAAAAUUCUCUGAUUUGUGGUAAAACUUAAAGGAAUAUUUUACGUGGUAAACGAAGAAUUUAAAGAGAAAUCUGAAAGGGUUGUGCUGGCAUCGCCCGUAGCCACAAAAUUUUCCUUUCUCCGGCACAAGUUGUGGAAAUUUCCAAGCAAGUUGACGAGCCGUCUUCCAAGUUAAUGGGACGCUUGGCAAGCAAAAUCCAGUCUAAAAAUAAUGUAAUUUUUAAGGAGCAAAGCUGCACAUCGCCAGUUUUCCUUUUCCUCACAUUCUUCAUCUCCUUGACUUGAUUCGAGCGCAGUAGUGUGCAUUUGCAGUGGGGUGGUGAAAUCGUAAUCAUUGGUUGAAAAAAGCAAAUGAUGAAUGGAUGAGCUUAAAUUUCUUUUUAUUUAAAUUGAUCGUAUAUGAAUGGGUCUACAUAGACUUAACCGAGCCAACACCAAAAAGAGGACUACUUAAUUAGACUUACUCAUUUUUCAGUACAGAUCGAUACGAUCCAUGAUCACUUCUAAAACAAAGACACAACAAGCAAUCUUUGUUUUUGCGUCUUUGUUUUUGUCCAACUUUGAAAUACUCAUUUGACAUUUCGAGAUGUUGUGCCAUGAACGUUUCUCCGCUUUUGGACCGCUCCCAUAUAUGAUGAUGGAGGCUUGCUUCACAUCCGUCGUUCUUACUUCAUUUCACUAGUAGGCCUCUAUAUAAUUUGCAGUGUUCUGAUUACUUAAAAACCCACUUAUCAUAUUAUUUAUUUGAUUGGAUUGAUGUAAUUCUUUAAUUAGUCGUUGCUGUGCGUUUGGAUCGCCAACUCUCGAUACCAAGUAAAGCAAAAUCUAUAUAUGUUUUACCAUUCUUAAACUCACAAAUCUAUUUCUUUUUAUUUCUUUGAUUGAGUGACGUAAUAUUGAUUAUUUGUUAGAUUAAUUGGGUAAUUUUAUCCCUCUAUAUCAUUUGCCCCAACGUUUUGUAAUGGGAACGAUGAACGAUGUGACACCAAGUAAAGCAAAAUAAACUGGUCUUUCUCAUUCUAAUUUCAGAUUCAUUUCUCUCUCCAAUUUGAAAAUGUUAUUGCCGUUGUACUCUUAUUGCACUUCUUAAUUAACUCUUUUGAAUAUUUUGCAUUCCUUUCAAUUAUUGAUUUAACGCGAUCUUCAAUUGUUUUACGUUUUCAAUUAACGAAGAUCUAAUUCUAUGGUUUGCAUGAAAAAAUUCUUGUCUUUCUUUUUUCAACUUUUUAUAUUUCUUUUUUUUUUGGGGGGGGGGGGGGGGAAGAGUUCAUUUGAGUAAAUAAAAACUUACUGUCUAAUUCAUUUUCUUUGUGCUUUUCUUCUAUCUUUUUUAAAGCGCUAUGCUUGGUUAUUUACUUGAUGGAAAUGCUCUUAUUUGCAUGAACGCGAAAUCCCUCUUUCCCUUUUUCCUUCUUUCUUUUCAUUUCUGAAGGCGUCCAUUGUUUGCUGUUUUGUUGACAUUUCAACUCUGUUUUAUGACCCAAAAAAAACUCUGUUUUCUUUUUUCUUUUUUCCCUUUGCUUUGUCGAACUCCAAAUGUUACAGCAAGUGCACAUCCGUCUACUUCAACAGUUGAAUCAUAUUAUUUAUAUCUGUGUUUUUUCUCUGUGUUUAUCUUUUUAUUCUAUUUGUUAUUAUUAUAAAAUUUUUUCUAAUGAGUGUUUCUCAUUUAUGUUUGAUUGUCAAGAGAAAAAUAUCAAUUUCAGUCCUUCUCAUAUAGUUCUUUUUUUUAAAAUUAAACAAACAUAUUUAGUUGUUAAUACUAUUCAAAGUCAAACAACAAAUAUUCAAAUUAUGCGUAAGAAAAUAUUAAAUUGCAUGUUGAGUUUGAGUUGGUGCAAGAACUAUUAAGAAAUCCAUUUUCUUAUUGGGAUCAAGAUCCAACAGACCGUGUAGUUUUCUGGACUGGUUUGUUUGGCUUUUUCGGUUUGGUCAAAGGAGAUGUCUGGUUGUUUGACUCCUAUACGUAGCCACACAAGAGAGAAAGCCAUUAAAGAAAUGGAGGGGUGAAAAGGUCUUUGUCAGAGUAAAGAAAACAAAGUAAAAUAUAGUUUUUUUUUUUGGCUUUCACGGGGGCUCGGAUACACGAGAAUUUUGUGGUGUGAAUUUUAUAUCCAAGUUGAGUUGUAGCACUUACUAGUAAUUUAGGUGUGAGAAAUAUUUGAAUGUGUCUAUGAUUGUAACUUUGAUUCUCUAAUUAUAAUGAAUUAUUUACUACCAGUUUUCUCUGUGGAGAAAGUAUCGAUACUCGGAUCGAAUCACGUAAUUCAUUCAUGUCUUUUAUUUUUGUCAUUUAUUUAUCUAGUAAUUUCAUCUUGAUUUAAAUUGCAAAAUCUUGUUAAUUUCCUCAUUAAUUUUAAAAUGGGAAGUUUUGUGUCCAUACAUUUUAAAGAGAUUGUGUGGUCUUUAUACAUGCAAUGCACGUGACAUUCUACUAGUAAUUUGAAGAGGGAUAAUUACGACAAAAGUCUUAAACUUAUUGUUCGAAUGUCAAUUUAGUUCAAAUUUUUUUAAUUUAGCCAAUUUAAUCUUAAAUUUUUUGAUGAUUUGUCACUGUAAUCAUGCCGACCAGUUUUGGUCGAUAAUUGCUAACGUGGACAAAGAUGGUCUUACAUGGUAUAAUUGACGUUGAUGUAGAUAAUUUUUCUCUUUUUCAUGAUAUUUUCAUUUAUUUUUUAUUUUUAUUUUUUUCUUCCCUUGCUGGUUGUCAUGGCCAACAAUCAGCCAUAGUUGAGGGAUGGUAAGGGCAAGCCUCACCUAAGGCCCAUGAGAUCAGCCCUUGUGCGACCCUUGCUUAACGCUAGUUGCCAGCGAUUGCCAAGGCCCAACAACUGGCAAGCAAGAAGGAAAUAAAUAAAUAAAAAGAAAAAAUGAAAAUAAACUAUAGAUAUUUAAAAAAAAUGCAAAAAGUUGAUGACAUUAGUGUUGGUUGUGCCACAUUGCUGGCCAAAAUUAGUUGAAAGAACUAUAUUAGCAAAUCAUUAAAAGAUUUAUGAAUAAAUUGGCCAAAUUGAAGUAUUUAUGAUUAAAUUGGUAUCCGUAUAAUAUAUUUAACACUUUUUUUUUUUUUUGAAAUCUGUAUGGAUUAUGGCUCAAAGUUAGUUUCCACUAUUUUGAAAUUCGACCCACGAAUUACAAGUAAUCAUGCGCAAUAUUAAGCAAAGUCCAAAUCGGGCUCUUGUCAACAAGAUCAUGAGUAACGCAAGAAAUAUAUACUAACUUCUCAAAAAAUUUCUUUUUCUUAUUGAAGAUGAAGUCUAUGUUGAUGUCAGAAAAGUGCUCAUAGUUUCUUGCAUACAAAUAUUAUGUUGUUGAAUUUGGUCUGGUGUGCAUAGUUAGUGCGCUUAAUAUGUACGAAACUUGCAAGAGACACAAAGUGCACCGAGAGCCACAAUUCAAGAGAUUCGAGAGUUUAAGAAAAUUCCUCUCUUGCAAACGAUUUUUGUGGGUUCCUGCUGCAUUUAAAAAAAAAAAAAAACACUUAUAAGUGAGUAUGACUAACUGUAACUUUAUCAUCCUUGAUUAUUGUGGAUUUAUCUCUUUGAUCUCUCCUGGUAGACUAGGCAUAUAAUCAAACCACAUAAAUCUGUUAUUUUUUGGAUUUUAUCUAUGCAAUUUAUAUCUUAUUUUGGGUAUGCGUGUUUCAUAGAAAUCUUCUCGAUGGAAGAAUAUAUUUUCGCAAAAAAUCAUUUUCUAAGGAAAUUGCUUGUCUUUAGUUAUUUGAUGGGAUUCUUGAAGGCGAGACAAAAUUAUUUUCAAUGUUUAAACCUAACUUUAAGAAAUUAAAUGUUAUAAUUAUGGUUUGCUCUAGGGAUGUGCAUGGUCCGGGUGGGCGGUUCCCAACCUAGAACCGGGAACUGCCCGCUAAGGACCGGUUCCAAAAAAUUGGAACCGGGAUCCACCUGGGAACUGGACCGCCGGUCCGGUCCGGUUCCCGGGUAGAUCCAUGGAACCGAUUUUGACGCGAAACAAUUUUAGUUUUCAACAUAGAACGGUCGCGAAACAAUUUUUCGCGGCUGUGGCGGGUGGCAGUCAACGCGAGGGGGCGAACAGCAGCGGCGGAGGAGCAACGGCGGUGGCGUCGACGCUCAGGGAGGAAUUGAAAUGGCGAUAGGAUUAGGAGCAACCGAGGAAGAGACAAAGAGAGAGAGAGAACCAAAGACGAAGGGAGUGAGGCGAUGAGAUCUAAUAUAGGAUUUCUUUUAGUAAUUUUUUUUUGUAAUAUUAAAAAGGUUCCGAUCCGGUCCGGGUGGGCGGAUCCGCCCAUGGAACCGGGAACCGGACCGGUACCUACCGGUUCCGAAAAAUUGGAACUGAAAACCGGACUGGUUCCCUCAAGAACUGCCGGUUCUGGAUAGUUCCGGUCCAGUUUCGGGCGGUCCGGGCGAUUCUCGGGUAUUUUGCACACCCCUAGUUUGCUCCUAAUAUGCGAUACCAAAGUGAUAUCCAAAUCAUUGUCUAAAAUAUUACUAAUGUUUGGACUAUAAAAUUUUAUGGAUUUUUAUUAUCAAAAUAAUGCAACCUAAAAAAAGUACGCCCAAGAAGAAAAUGCAAAUAAUUAACAAAAUUAAUUGAUCAAUACUCCUUCGAACCAAAAAAAAAAAAAAUCAAUAAGUGCUCAUAAAAAUUUACGUGAAAAUAGAUUUCCAUUCCAAAAAAUUAAUCAAAGAGGGAUACACAAUAAAAAUUCAAACUGGAAAGAAAAAAAAAAAAGAAGAGGAAAAAGAAAAGUCAUCGUAAAAUUAAAGACAAGAACAUCCUAAAUUGACAUUUCCACGGACACCUCUUGUAUUAUCCUUCUAAAAUAUGUAUCAUACAGCCGAGUGACAAAUAACCAAAUAACAAUUUAGUCUACAGAGAUGCAACAAAUUGAGCAAUUGAAGCUAAUUCUAAUAUCAAUUUGAAGAGGAGAUGAAACAGUUUUGAGAGUUUGCUGUGAAGAAAAGAAAGGAUAGAGAGUGAAGACUAGUAGGGACAGAGGGAGAACAGGGGACGCUUGUAGAAAAUGAGUUUGAAAAAACCGAUUUCUUCUUUUUAGGAUAGAGAAGUCAUUUUCGUGGAUGUUGAGUAUUGUUUUUUUUUUCUUGCCUGAAAAGUUUUUUCAAUAGAUUGUCCAUUUUCAACAAAUCAAACGUGUUGACCUUUAGAAAAUCAUUUCAUGGAAGUCCUUUCCAUAAAAACAAUGACACCCUCCAAAUUGCUUCGAUUCUUCACAUUUUCACGCUAGUCAAAACAGUUCGAUCUUUCAAACCAGUUCAUUAAAAGGCGACGGCACGGUAAGGGAAGAUCCAUUUACAUCGACAUCUUAGAGAGGCACAGAAUGAAACUUUAUACCAAUACAGCAGAGAACAUAUCCUCCGGAAGAAUAACAGAGCAAUCGCACCCAAAAGUGCAGUAAGCGGGAAACUACUGGCUUCUGUUUCCCCACCAUUGCUACCAGAAAACAACCCCAUGCCCCUUCUUAUACGAGACACGUUUGCACUCAAAUGUCCUUUGUAUCAUAGCGGCAAUGCAAUGACAAACGGAAAACAACUUUCAAAAGGACGAGGCAAAAUAAGACUAUGCCGAUGAAAAUAAGUACAGAAAGCUGAAUCAUUCGCGAGAAACCACGACCACCUGUUUCCCGAAGUUGCGACCAGAGAACACCCUGACAAGAGCUGAUGGACCAUUCUCGAGCCCUUCUGCGAUGUCUUCCAUGUACACAAUCUUCCCCUCUUUAAUCUGAGGCAAUGCCGUCUCGAGGAACUUCGGGUAGAGAUGAUAGUAAUCAGUUACCACGAAACCUUCCAUCCGAACCCGCUUCAGGAUAAGGUUCAUCAAGUUGUGUAUGCCUUCGGGCUGCUCAAGAUUGUACUGUGAGAUCAUUCCGCAUAAUGUGAUUCGGCCAUGAAGUUUCAUGUUGAGCAGCACGGCAUCAAGCAUCUUUCCGCCGACAUUGUCGAAGUAGAUAUCGAUCCCCUCAGGGAAGCAUCUAAACAUUCAAGACAGAAAAGUCAACUCUAGUCAGCUUUGGAAUGGGUACAUAUUGAAUAUUUUGUACAUAAGUAAUUUGCUCAAUCAUCGUUACUAUAUUCCUGGUUCACCUUUUCAGUGCUGCAUCCAGAUCCAGUUCCUCCUUGUAGUUGAAAGCAUCAUCGAAUCCAAACUUGUUCUUCAGUAAAUCAACUUUUUUUCCCAAACAUAACAGCAAGCGGACAUUUUAAGUAAAGAUAAAAUCGGGAAGAGACUAUUAAGCAAUUACUAUUCAAGGAAAAACUAGACAAAUGUGAGAUGAUUACCUUCUCUUUGCUACCGGCGCUGCCAACAACAUAACAACCAAACAACUUUGCAAACUGGCCGACAAGCUGACCCACAGCUCCCGACGCCGCCGAUAUGAAAACAGUAUCUCCUUUCUUGGGAGAGCAUACCUCGAAAAACCCAGCAUAAGCCGUCAUACUUGGCAUACCUGGAAAGUUUGGAUUUAUACAAAUUAGACAAGUUUCAAGAUUUGCUGAAGCAUAGGAGUGUAGUGCCAUGGCAAAUCUCAAAUGAUCCGAUUUAAUUGACCGAAGGUGAUGGCCCUGACAAAUGGAUGAGAAACAAUCAAUUUACACGCUUCUCUCAACACGAAAGAGCUGUACAGUGCUCCAUUGUUGAGAUAAUUCAACGAGGGCAUACGGCACUUAAACAAGGAAGAUCCGCCCAAGUAAAAUUCAAAGGAAGCACGCUUUUUCCUUGCAUAGCUGGAGGCUGUCCGUACUUGAGAACCAAACAGACAGAACAAAGUAUCUUAACGAUUCGAUGCUCCUCAUUAUUUAACACUGAAAGAGAUAUCGCACCAGAUGAUUAAAGAGCAUACCUAGAAGACCGGUGUAGUAAGACAGAGGAACAUCGGUGUGUUCGAUCUUAAAGCAAGUCUCUGGCGUAGUAAUUAGACUAUACUCCUCCCAUCUGGUGAUGCCCCAAACCAAGUCGCCUUUCUUGAAGUUUGGGUGCCCAGAUUCCAAAACUCUAGCUACCCCAUAUCCAGGAACAGGCUGCAUCAUGGUUUUAGAUUCUUCAGAAUAUAAGUGGAACUACAAAUAGCAAACUCGAAUAGACUUUGAGCGUACAAGAAGGAAAGAGUAUGCUUCCUUUGACUCUACUUGUUGAAUGUAAUUGUCACAAAUUUGAGUUUGGUUUAUGGGUGCGAGUUCAUAAAUUACUGUUAGCAUCAUGUGUCGAGUAAACGUGACGAGAGAGAUGGCGGUACUUACAGAGCCGAGCUGAGUGGAGAACUUGAUGAGGUGGAGAUUGUAGGGAUCGCAGGCCAGGUACAAGUUCUUCACCACGAUGGCCCCCGAAUCCUUGUCGGCCUUCGGUCUCUCCGAGCUCGUCCUCACUUCCAAGUGGGUCUCUUUCAGGGAACCUUGUACCUUCUCUCUGUAAAUCACCUGUUUGUUCCUCAUAACUUCCGCUGAAGCGUUGUUGUUCUCCUUCUCCAUUCUCUCUCUCUCUCUCUCUCUCUCUCUCUCUCUCUGGAUUUGAUCGGUGAGACGCAUGGCCAAAUACUUUAUAGGGAAGAUGGGUGAUAAAAGAUGGGUGAUGAAAUAUGCAGUCGCCGGUGACGUGUGCCCGUGUGUCAUCCGUGGAAUAGUAUUCCAAUUGGGAGACCAUUUCAAAGAAAUGGGCAACCGGUUGAAAUCUAAACAAUAUAUUAUUAUAUUUGCUAAUCUUAAUUAAUUCAACAAGGAAACUAGAUAAAAAAAAAAAACAAUACAUACGAUGAAAUGAAGGUUUUGUUUUCUUAUUUUAUUUAAGGAAUAAUAUUACCAUCGUUCCUUUAUUUUUAUCAAAAAAAUCAAAAUCAAAAUCAUCCUUCUUUCUUUUAUUAUUAUUUUUUAAAAACGUCUCUCGAGUUUUUAGAAAAUGUCAAUGUACAGUCCUUCCAUUAUAAUUUUUCCCUUACUCGUCGAUUUUUGUUGACAUGGAUUAGAGAAUUAAUAAUAUAGAUGCUAGUGAAUACAUGUGUCACACUGAAAUACAUAUGUCAUGUCAUGAUUUUUUGAAAUUUAUUAUAAGUCAAAAAGGCACCACAUUAAUAUAUAUAUAUAUAUAUAUAUAUAUAUAUAUAUAUAUAUAUAUAUAAAACCAAAAUUGAGAGAGAAAAACAGAUGGAGGAUCAUCAUCGUAGCCAGAAGCUCAAGCUCUAAGCUUGUAGCAACCAUGGUCACAGUGGCCACAACCACUAGAGUUUCGAAUUGUGAAUUUUGAGAGCAUGGCUACUCGAGAAAAGCUCAUGGUCAUGGUGGCUCAAUUGGUGGUCGUAAAUGGUUACAAAUCAUAGUUUUUGUGUUUAUUAUGGAUGUUUUGUAGGUUUUCUUCAAGUUUAUCGUUUAUGUUAUUUUAUUUUUAUUAUACUCAAAUUUAAGAAAUUUUACUUCGAGGGAUUAAAGGAAAUCCCGAUAACUAAGAUUUCAUUCCAAAUUUCCCAAAGAAACAAGAUGACCCAUUUAUCUUGUUCCCUCUACUUAUACUAUUAACUUAUUCGCUCUUUCAAUGAACAUUUUAUAGCACUUUAUGCUUCAUAUUUGAUGAAGUGGCAUGUCACAUAAUGCUUAAGCAUGUAUAAAUUACUUCACCUUUCACCUGCCCUUAAAACCUACCUUAACACUUUUUCUUUGGAAGAAGUACAUCCCAGGUGUCAAAGCUUGACUCAAAAGGACACUUAAAUUCCAAAAAUUAGGAAAGUGAUACUUAAGUGUCAUCUCUGGUAAACCCGCCGAAAAUCUUACGUGAUAAUUUUUUAUUAUUUUUCUUGCCUACAUGGCUUGUCAAAGAGUUGACUUAGCAAAGAAAUGCAAAAACGACGUCGUUUUAAUGUGAAUUUGAAUUUGAAUAUAAAAUUUAAUUAAAUUAAACUAUAAAAAUUAAUUAAAAAUAAAUAAAAAAUUUUUAAAAAAGGGAGGGAUGAAGAAGGUGGCUGAGGGCUGAGCCCUCUGCCACUGCCUCCCUAUCGUCGCAGGGAAGGGCUAGCGAAGGUGGGGGGAGGGUUGGCUAGGGCCCAACGACCCUGGUUGAUCAAUGACGAGGGCUUGCGAGCCCUCGCCUAGAUCUGGGGUGAGGGUCGCAACCCUCCCCCAAAUCUGACAAGGGUAGGCGACUCUCGCUUGAAUAGGCCAAGGGCCGCUGCUAGCUAGGGGCGCCCCAACGGGCAACCAUUGUUUGCUGUUUUGUUGAAAUCCAAAUGUUACAAUAAGUGCACAUCCGUCUACUUCAAUAAUUGAAUCAUAUUAUUUAUAUUUGUAUUUUUUCUUUGUGUUUAUCUUUAUAUUCUAUUUGUUAUUAUUAUAUAAUUUUUUCAACUGAGUGUUUCUUAUUUAUGUUUGAUUGUCAAGAGAAAAAUAUCAUUUCAGUCCUUCUCAUAUAGUUCUUUAUUUAAAAUUAAACAAAUAUAUUUAGUUGUUAAUACCAUUCAAAGUCAAACAAAAAUAUUCAAAUUAUGCGUAAGAAAAUAUUAAAUUGUAUCUUGCGUUUGAGUUGGUGAAAGAAAUAUUAAGAAAUCCAUUUUCUUAUUGGGAUCAGGAUCCAUCAGACCAUGUAGUUUUCUGGACUGGUUUGUUUGGCUUUUUCGGUUUGGUCAAAGGAGACGUCUGGUUGUUUGACUCCUACACGCAGCGACACAAGAGAGAAAGCCAUUAAAGAAAUGGAGGGGGUGAAAGGGUCUUUGUCAGAGUAAGAAAACAAAGUAAAAUAUAGUUUUUUUUUUCUUUCACGAGGGCUCAGGUACACAAGAAUUUUGUUGUGUGACUUUUAUAUCCAAGUCGAGUUGUCGCACUUACUAAUAAUUUAGGUGUGGGAAAUAUUAGAGCAUGUUCAUGAUCGUAACUUUGAUUCUCCGAUUUUAUAAUGAAUUAUUUACUGUUGAUUCUUCUUGUGAAGAAAGUACUGAUACUCAAACCGAAUCAUCUAAUUCAUUCAUGUCUUUUAUUUUUCUUGUUUAUUUCUUUGGUAAUUUCACAUUGAUUUAAAUUGCAAAAUCUUGUUAGUUUCCUCAUUAAUUUUACAAUGGGAAGUUUGCUGUCUAUACAUUUUAAGAGAUUGCGUGGUCUUUAUACAUGCAAUGCACGUAACAUUCUACUAGCAAUUUGAAUACGGAUCAUUACUAGAAAAGUCUUAAACUUAUUAUUCAAAUGGCAAUUUAGUUCAAAACUUUUUAAUUUAGCCAAAUUAAUCCUAAUUUUUUUUGACAAUUUGUCAAUGUAAUCAUACCGACCAAUUUUGGUCGGUAAUUGCUGACGUGGACAAAAAUUGUCUUAUGUGGCAUAGUCGAUACUGAUGUAAAGAACUUUUUUUUGUGAUAUUUUAAUUUUUUUAAUUUUCUUUUUCCCCCCUCUUCCUUUGCCGGUUGCCAUGGCCAAUAAUCAGCCAUAGUCGAGGGCUGGUGAGGGCAAGCCUCACAUGAGGCCCAUGAGAUCAGCCCUUGUUCGACCCUUGCUUGUCGCUUGCUAGCAAUUGCCAAGGCCUGACAACUGGCAAGCAAGAAGGAAAUAAAAAAAGAAAGAAAAUAAAAAAGGAAAAAUUCAAAUAAAGUAUAUAUAUUUAGAAAAAUAUAAAAAAUGCAAAAAGUUGAUUACAUUAGUGUUGGCUAUGCCACAUUACUGGCCAAAAUUAGCUAGAAGAAUUAUAUUAGCAAAUCAUCAAAAAAAAAAUUAUGAAUAAAUUGGCUAAAUUGAAGUAUUUAUGAUUGAAUUGGUAUCCGUAUAAUAUAUUUAACAUUUUUUUUUGGAAAUUUGUAUGGAUUAUGGCUCAAAGUUAGUUCCUACUAUUUCUAAAUUUGACCCACGGAUUACAAGUAAUCAUGCUCAAUAUUAAGGAAAGUCCAAAUCGGACUCUUGUCAACAAGAUCAUGAAUAACAAGAUCAUGAGUAACGCAAAAAAUAUAUAUUAACUUCUCAAAAAAUUUCUUUUUUCUUAUUGAAGAUGAAGUCUAUGUUGAUGUACUUACCAAAAAAAAAAGAGUCUAUGUUGAUGUCUGAAAAGUGCUCAUAGUUUCUUGCAUACAAAUAUUAUGUUGUUGAAUUUGGUUGGGUGUGCAUAGUUAGUGCGCUUAGUAUGUACGACACUUGCAAGAGACACAAAGUGCACCAAGAACCACAAUCCAAGAGAUUCGAGAGUAUAAGAAAAUUCCUCUUUUGCAAACGAUUUUUGUGGGUUCCUCCUGAAUUAAAAAAAAAAAAACUUAUAAGUGAGUAUGACUGAGUAAUUGUAACUUUAUCCUCCUUGAUUAUUGUGGAGUUAUCUUGUUGAUUUCUCAUGUUAGAUUUGACAUAUAAUCAAAUCAUGUAAAUCUGUUAUUUUUCGAUUUUAUCUAUGAAAUUUAUAUCUUAAUUAGGGUAUGCGUGUUUCAUAGAAAUCUUCUCGAUGGAAGAAUAUAUUUUUGCAAAAAUCAUUUUCUAAGGAAAUAGCUUGUCAUUAGUUAUUUGAUGGUGUUCUUGAAGGCGAGACAUAAUUAUUUUUGAUGUUUUAAACCUAACUUUAAUAAAUUAAGCUCAAUGUUAUAAUUAUGGUUUGCUCCUAAUAUGAGAUACUAAAGUGAUAUCCAAAUCAUUGUCUAAAAUAUUACUAAUGUUUGGAAGAUAAUUUUAUGGAUUUUUAUUAUCAAAAUAAUGCAACCUGAAAAAGGACGCCCAAGAAGAAAAUGCAAAUAAUUAACAAACUUAAUCUAUCAGUACUCUUUCGAAUACCAACAAAAAAAAAAAAAAAAAUCAAUCAGUGCUCAUAAAACUUUACGUGAAAAUAGAUCUCCAUUCCAAAAAAUUAAUCAAAGAGGGAUACACAAUAAAAGUCCAAUCUGGAAAAGAAAAAAAAAAGGAAAAAGAAGAGUCAUCAUAAAAUUAAAGACAAAAACAUCCUAAAUUGGCAUUUCCACGGACACUUCAUGUAUCAUCCUUCUAAAAUAUGCAUCAUACAGCCGAGUGACGAAUAACCAAAUAACAAUUUAGUCUGACAGAGAUGCAACAAAUUGAGCAAUUGAAGCUAAUUCUAGUACCAAUCUGAAGAGGAGAUGAAACAGUUUUGAGAGUUUGCUGUGAAGAAAAGAAAGGAUGGAGAGUGAAGACUAGUAGGGACAGAGGGAGAACAGAGCACGCUUGUAGAAAAUGAGUCUGAAAAAACCGAUUUCUUCUUUUUAGGAUAGAGAAGUCAAUUUCCUGGAUGUUGAGUAUUGUUUUUUUUUUCUUGCCUGAAAAGUUUUUUCAAUAGAUUAUCCACUUUCAACAAAUCAAACGUAUUGAUCUUUAAAAAAUCAUUUCAUGGAAGUCCUUUCCUUAAAAACAAUGACACCCUCCAAAUUGCUUUGAUUCUUCACAUUUUCGCGCUAGUCAAAACAGUUUGAUCUUUCAAACCAGUUCAUUUAAAGGCGACGGCACGGUAAAGGAAGAUCCAUUUACAUCGACAUCUUAGAGAGUAAUAGAAUGAAAUUUUAUACCAAUAGAUUCAGCAGAGAAGAUAUCCUCCGAAAGAAUAACAGAGCAUUCGCACCCAAAAGUGCAGUAAGCGGGAAACUACUAGCUUCUGUUUCCCCACCAUUGCAACCAGAAAACAACCCCAUGCCCCUUCUUAUACAAGACACAUUUCCACUCAAAUGUACUUUGUAUCAUAGCGGCAAUGUAAUGACAAACGGAAAACAACUCCUUUCGAAAGCACGAGGCAAAAUGAGACUAUGUUGAUGAAAAAAAGUACAGAAAGCUUACUCAUUUGCGAGAAACCACGACCACCUGUUUCCCGAUGUUGCGACCGGAGAACACCCCAACAAGAGCUGCUGGACCAUUCUCGAGCCCUUCCGCGAUGUCUUCCGUGUAUGCAAUCUUCCCCUCUCUGAUCUGAGGCAAUACCAUCUCCAGGAACUUCGGGUAGAGAUGAUAGAAAUCGGACACCGAGAAACCUUCCAUCCGAACCCGCUUCCAGAUAAGGUUUAUCAAGUUGUGUACGCCUUCGUGCUGCUCGAGGUUGUACUGUGAGAUCAUUCCGCAUACUGUGAUUCGGCCAUGAAGUUUCAUAUUGGGCAGCACGGCAUCAAGCAUCUUUCCGCCGACAUUUUCGAAGUAGAUAUCGAUCCCCUCAGGGAAGCAUCUAAACAUUCAAGACAGAAAAAAGUCAACUCUAGUCGGCUUUGGAAUGGGUACAUAUUGAAUAUUUUGCACAUAAGUAAUGUGCUCAAUCAUCGUUACUUUAUUCUUGAUUCACCUUUUCAGUGCUGCAUCCAGAUCCAGUUCCUCCUUGUAGUUGAAAGCAUCAUCGAAUCCAAACUUGUUCUUCAGCAAAUCAACCUUUUUCCCAAACAUAACAGCAAGCGAGUAUUUUAAGUAAAGAUAAAAUCGGGAAGAGACUAUUAAGCAAUUACUAUCCAAGGAAAAACUAGACAAAUGUGAGAUGAUUACCUUCUCUUUUCUACCGGCGCUGCCAACAACAUAACAACCAAACAACUUUGCAAACUGGCCGACAAGCUGACCAACAGCUCCUGAUGCCGCCGAUAUGAAAACAGUAUCUCCUUUCUUGGGAGAGCAUACCUCGAAAAACCCAGCAUAAGCCGUCAUACCUGGCAUACCUGGAAAGUUUGGAUUUAUACAAAUUAGACGAGUUUCAAGAUUUGCUUAAGCAUAGGAGGAGGAGUGUAAUGCCAUGGCAAAUCUCAAAUGAUCCGAUUUAAUUGACCGAAGGUGAUGCCCCUGACAAAUGGAUGAGAAACAAUCAAUUUACACGCUUCUCUCAACACGAAAGAGCUGUACAGUGCUCCAUUGUUGAGAUAACUCAACGAGGGCAUAUGGCGCUUAAACAAGGAAGAUCCCCCCCAAGUAAAAUUCAAAGGAAGCACGCUUUUUCCUUGCAUAGCUGGAGGCUGUCCGUACUUGAGAACCAAACAGACAGAACAAAGUAUCUUAACGAUUCAAUGCUCCUCAUUAUUUAACUCUGAAAGAGAUAUCGCACCAAAUGAUUAAAGAGCAUACCCAGAAGGCCGGUGUAGUAAGACAGAGGAACAUCGGUGUGUUCGAUCUUAAAGCAAGUCUCUGGCACAGUAAUUAGACUAUACUCCUCCCAUCUAGUGAUGCCCCAAACCAAGUCGCCUUUCUUGAAGUUUGGAUGCCCAGAUUCCAAAACUCUAGCUACUCCAUAUCCACGAACAGGCUGCAUCGUUGUGUUAGAUUCUUCAGAAUAUAAGCGCAACUACAAUUAGCAAACUCGAAUAGACUUUGAGCGAACAAGAAGGAAAGAGUAUGCUUCCUUUGAAUCUUACUUGUUGAAUGUAAUUGUCACAAAUUUGAGUUUGGUUUAUGCAUGCGAGUUCAUAACUUACUGUUAGCAUCAUGUGUCGAGUAAAUGUAACAAGAGAGAUGGCGGUACUUACAGAGCCGAGCUGAGUGGAGAACCUGAUGAGGUUGAGAUUGUAGGGAUCGCAGGCCAGGUACAAGUUCUUCACCAUGAUGGCCCCCGAAUCCUUGUCGGCCUUCGGUCUCUCCGAGCUCGUCCUCACUUCCAAGUGGGUCUCCUUCAGGGAACCUUGUACCUUCUCUCUGUAUAUCACCUGUUUGUUGCUCAUAACUUCCACUGAAGCAUUGCUGUUCUCCUUCUCCAUUCUCUCUCUCUCUCUCUCUCUCUCUCUCUCUNNNNNNNNNNNNNNNNNNNNNNNNNNNNNNNNNNNNNNNNNNNNNNNNNNNNNNNNNNNNNNNNNNNNNNNNNNNNNNNNNNNNNNNNNNNNNNNNNNNNNNNNNNNNNNNNNNNNNNNNNNNNNNNNNNNNNNNNNNNNNNNNNNNNNNNNNNNNNNNNNNNNNNNNNNNNNNNNNNNNNNNNNNNNNNNNNNNNNNNNNNNNNNNNNNNNNNNNNNNNUAAACAAUAUAUUAUUAUAUUUGCUAAUCUUAGUUAAUUCAACAAGGAAACUAGAUAAUAAAAAAAAAAAAAAACGAUAGAUGCGAUGAAAUGAAGGUUUUGUUUUCUUAUUUUAUUUAAGGAAUAAUAUAACCAUCGUUCCUUUAUUUUUGUCCGAAAAUCAAAAUCAAAAUCAUCCUUCUUUCUUUCUCUUUAAGAAAGAAAAAAAAAACGUCCCUCUACUUUUUAGAAAAUGUUGACGUGCGGUCCUUCCAUUGUAAUGUUUCCCUUACUGAUCGAUUUUUGUUGACAUGGAUUCAAAAUUAAUGAUAUAGACGCUAGUGAAUAUACGUGUCACCCUGAAAUAUAUGUCAUGUCAUGAUUUAUUGAAAAUUAUUAUAAGUAAAAAAGGCACCACAUCAAAUAAUAUUAAACAACAGAAAAACCAAAGUUGAGAGAGAGAAAGAGAUGGAGGAUCAUCGUCGUAGCCUUGAGCUCAAGCUCUAAGCUUGCAACAACCAUGGUCGCGACGGCCACAACCACUAGAGUUUCAAAUUGUGAAGCUCGAGAUCAUGGCUGCUCAAGAUAAGCUCACGGUCAUGUUGGCUCAAUUGGUGGUCGUAAAUGGUUACAAAUCAUAGCUUUUGUAUUAUUAUGGAUGUUUUGUGGGUUUUCUUCAAGUUUAUCAUUUCUAUUAUUUUAUUUUUAUUAUACUCAAAUUUAAGAAAUUUUACUUUGAGGGAUUAAAGGAAAUCCGAGAUUUCACUCCAAAUUUCCCAAAGAAAUAGGAUGAACAAUUUAUCUUGUUCCCUUUACUUGUACUAUUAACUUAUUUGUUAUUUCAAAGAACUUUUUAUAACACUUUAUGCUUCAUAUUUGAUGAAGUGGCACGUCACAUAAUGCUCAAGCAUGUAUAAAUUACUCCACCUUUCACCUGCCCUUAAAACCUACCUUAAUACUUUUUCUUUAAAAAAAGUACACCCCAAGUGUUAAAAUUUGGCAUAAAAUGACAUUUUAGUGCCAAAAAUUAAGAAAAUGCCAUUUUUUGAAAUGUGAGAUUGCCAUCUACGAUUAACCUUGCCAGCAAUCCUACAUGGCAAUUUUUUAUUAUUUUUCUUGCCUACAUGGCUCACCGGAGAGCAGACUCAAUAAAGAAACGCAAAAAUGACAUCAUUUUGACGCGGAUUUGAAUUUUAAUAUAAAAUUUAAUUUAAUGAAUCUAUAAAUAAAUUAUAUAUAUAUAUAUAUAUAUAUAUAUAUAUAUAAGGGGGUGAAAAGAAGAAGGUAGCUGAAGGUUGAGCCCUUACUGCCGCCUUCUCCCUGCCGUCACUUGGAACAGCCAACAAAAGUGGGAGUAGGGUUGGCUGGGAUCGCCGGGCCUUGGCUAGGGGUUAGCGACCCCGACUGACCCUUGCCCAAAUCUUUUGCAAGGGUCGCCACCCUUCCCCAGAUCUGGCGAGAGUCUAUAGCUCUCACAUGCAUAUACGGCGAGGGUCACCGNNNNNNNNNNNNNNNNNNNNNNNNNNNNNNNNNNNNNNNNNNNNNNNNNNNNNNNNNNNNNNNNNNNNNNNNNNNNNNNNNNNNNNNNNNNNNNNNNNNNAAAGGAUAGGAAUUUGCUAAACAUUCUCUUUAUAUUUCAAGAACCAUAAUUCUCUAGAAAUCUACAUGGAAGAAAAGGAAGUGCCAGAUACCUGGAGUGUCAAAACUUGGCACAGGGGGAUACUGAAGUGCCAAAAUUGGAGCAAAAUUGAUCACUUAGGGCGCGUUUGAUUGUGUUUCUGUUUAAAAAUUGUUCCAGGGAACAGAAAUAGAAAAAAGUAUUUCUGUUCCGGGGAACAAUUUUUGAACAAAAAUACGCGUUUGGUAAACUUGUUCCGGGAAUAAAAAAUAAACAGAAACAUGUUUGGUAAAUUUGGAUAAUUUUUUUAUUUCUUUUAUUUUUUCUAUUUUUUUCUUAUUUUUCCUUUUUUUCUUUUUUCUUUUUCAUUUUUUUUUUCUUCUUUUGGCCGGUCGCCGGCCAAGGCCUUGGCCGGCGACCGGCCAAAAGAAGAAAAAAAAAAUGAAAAAGAAAAAAGAAAAAAAGGAAAAAUAAGAAAAAAAUAGAAAAAAUAAAAGAAAUAAAAAAAUUAUCCAAAUUUACCAAACAUGUUUCUGUUUAUUUUUUAUUCCCGGAACAAGUUUACCAAACGCGUAUUUUUGUUCAAAAAUUGUUCCCCGGAACAGAAAUACUUUUUUCUAUUUCUGUUCCCUGGAACAAUUUUUAAACAGAAACACAAUCAAACGCGCCCUAAGUGAUCAAUUUUGCUCCAAUUUUGGCACUUCAGUAUCCCCCUGUGCCAAGUUUUGACACUCCAGGUAUCUGGCACUUCUUUUUCUUUCAUGUAGAUUUCUAGAGAAUUAUGGUUCUUGAAAUAUAAAGAGAAUGUUUAGCAAAUUCCUAUCCUUUCCAGCAAUUAAAAAACCAUUUGCAUUUCUGAAAAUUACGUUAGAACUUUAGCUGAAGAAUUUUACCUUUUUUUUUGUCCUUUUUAGGAAGCUUUAGCCUUCUCUCUGACUCGUGAAGUGGAAAAACCGGAUCCGACCCCCAAAAAGAAAAAAUAAAAAGUGGAAAAACCGGCAACUCAAGUUUGUGGGUUACUCGAUUUAAAUUGUGCGAUGGAAGACAACCCAUCACUUGAUUGCGGAUAACGGUGCCGUUAUGCUCACUUUCCUCAUUCCAAUUCCAUUUCUCUCUUCAAUUUGUAAUUGUUAUUGUCGUUGUCCUCGGUGAAUUUUAAUUCUUACUUUUGCUUUUCCCUUGUUGAUAUAUUAUUCUGGACACUCUUCUCGCACUUCUUAAUUAACUCUUUUUGAAUUUUUGGCAUUCCUCUCAAUUAUUAAAUUAACUCUUUCUUCAAAAUUAUCAUACAUUUUCAAUUAACGAAAAUAUAUAUAUUUUUUGCAUGAAAAAAUUCUUGUCUUUUUUUCAAUUUUUGUUUUCUUUUGUUUGGAAGAGUUUAUUUGAGUAAAUAUAAUAUUAGCUACUUCAAACUUUAAAUUUGAUUACUUACUGUCCAAUUCAUUUUCUUCAUGCAUUUUUUCUGUCUCAUUUGAAGUGCUAUACUUGCUUUUUAUAUUCUUCUUCUUUCUUUCCUUUCUUUUCUAUACUUGAUUUUAUAAACUAAAGGGACUCGGUCAAACCCCAAAUGUUACACUAAUCAAAUAAUUUAUAUUUGUGUGUUUUCACUGUGUUGAUCUUUUCCUAUGUUCUAUUUGUUAUUAUUAUAUAUUUCUUUUCUAAUUAUUAUAUUUUUUUUUUCUAAUGAGUGUUUCUCAUUCGCAUAUGAUUAUCACAAGAAAAAAAAAUCAAUUUCAUUCCUUCUCAUAAGAGUCAAACAAUAAAUAUUCAAACCGUGUUUAAGGAAAUGUUAGAUUAUAUCUCGACUUGGGAACCAUGUGAGGAAUAUCAAGAAAUAUAUUUUCUUAUUGGGUUCGGAUUCAUCGGACGAUGUAGUUUGCUCGAUUGGCUUCCGACGAAGGAGCCACAAGGUUAUUGGCUUAUUCAGUUUUGGUCAAAGAAGAUGUGUGGUUGUUUGACUCCUAUGCGCAGCCGCACGACAGUGAGAGCCACUACAGGACAAAAUAAAGGGGUCGCAUAUUCUCUAAUUAUAUAUUUAUUUCGGGGGUAAAAAGAUUUUUGUCUGAGGAAACAGCCCGUGGGCUCUCGAGCAGAACGUAGACUUUGGGGGUGUUUGGUUCAGCUUUCCCAAGGGGCUUUGAGCCUCGAAAGCCCCUUGGGAAAAAUUAGAGGGUGUUUGGUUCGGCUUUCAAAUGCUCCUUGGUGAAAUGUUUGCCUUUGGAAUGCUGAAUGCCGAAUGCUGGGGGGGACCAGCUUUGAGCAUUGGGCAUUCUGGAGAUGCGAUAUUACUGUUCAUCGCGUCACUGUUCAUCGUCUCCUCCGCCGUUCGCCUUCUUCUUCGCCAUUCAUCUUCUUCUUUGCCAAAGGCAGCGCUCAGCCGCGAUCUGGCCGUCGAGAAGCCUCGCCUGAGGUCGCACAACCUUAGGCGAGGUGGCCUGAGGUCGGGCAACCUCAGGCGGCGUCGCCUGGUCUCGCGCUAGCCAGGCGACCAGGCGAGGCCAGAUCUGGCCAUUUGACGGCCAGAUCUGGCCCCUGCGACCUCCGGCGGCCAGAUCUGGUGGUUCGGCGACGGCCAGAUCUGGCCGUCCGGCGGUGGCUGGCGGUUGGCCGACAGUAGCCGACCGUCGGAAUUUCAUUUCAGACUUUAAAGAAAAUAAAAAAUAACAAAAGCUAAUUACAAAUGUAAAGUUUGCCAAACGGUGUUUAUGCUAAGUUGCAUUUCCAUGCUAAAAUUUACCAAACGGUGUAACAUUUCCGAAAGCCCCUUUCUCUCAAAGAUAUUUGCAUUUUCCCAAUGACAUUUCCCCAAAGCCGAACCAAAUGGGCCCCGCGCGAGGGAACGCUUCGAACGAGCAUCGGACACACGUGAAUUUUGUGCUUUGUUUUAUAUUCAAAUUGGGACGUAAGACUCAUGUAUAUUCUGGGUGUGGAAAAUAUUGAAACCUGUUCACGAUUGUAAUUCUAAUUUUUCAAUGAUAGUAGAUUAUCAGCUACUACCAACUCUCCCAAUACAGUAUGUACCUAGAUUUUUGACCGAAUAUUGUAAAGUUUAUGGUGUUUUUAAUUGUUCAUUGUUUUAUUUAUCUAGUGAUUUCGAGUUAAUUUAAAUUGUAAUAUCUUGUUAGUUUCUGUAUUAAUUUUACUAUGGAAAGUUCGGUGUCUAUACAUUACCCUUGACAUUCUACUUGUAAUCUAAAAAUGAAUAAUUACUAUAAAUUUUUAAACCUAUUAUUUGGAUAUCAAUUCAGUCAUUAAUUUUUUAAUUUAAUUAAUUUAGUUUUAAAUCUUUUGAUGAAUUGACAAUUUACUUAUUCCACCUAUAAUCGCUAACAUGGACAAAAUCAAACGUAUUGAUCUUUAAAAAAUCAUUUCAUGGAAGUCCUUUCCUUAAAAACAAUGACACCCUCCAGAUUGCUUUGGUUCUUCACAUUUUCGCGCUAGUCAAAACAGUGAUCUUUCAAACCAGUUCAUUUAAAGGCCACGGCACGGUAAAGGAAGAUCCAUUUACAUCGACGUCUUAGAGAGUAAUAGAAUGAAAUUUUAUACCAAUAGAUUCAGCAGAGAACAUGUCCUCCGAAAGAAUAACAGAGCAUUCGCACCCAAAAGUGCAGUAAGCGGGAAACUACUAGCUUCUGUUUCCCCACCAUUGCUACCAGAAAACAACCCCAUGCCCCUUCUUAUACGAGACACAUUUGCACUCAAAUGUCCUUUGUGUCAUAGCGGCAAUGCAAAGAGAAACGGAAAACGACUUUCAAAACCACGAGACAAGAUAAGACUAGGUCGAUGAAAAAAAAUGUACAGAAAGCUAAAUCAUUCGCGAGAAACCACGACCACUUGUUUCCCGAUGCUGCGACCAGAGAACACCCCGACAAGAGCUGCUGGACCGUUCUCGAGCCCUUCCGCGAUGUCUUCCAUGUACACAAUCUUCCCCUCUUUAAUCUGAGGCAAUACCGUCUCGAGGAACUUCGGGUAGAGAUGAUAGUAAUCAAACAUUGCAAAACCUUCCAUCCGAACCUGCUUCCAGAUAAGGUGCAUCAAGUUGUGUACGCCUUCGUGCUGCUCGAGGUUGUAUUGUGAGAUCAUUCCGCAUACUGUGAUUCGGCCAUGAGGUUUCAUGUUGAGCAGCACGGCAUCAAGCAUCUUUCCACCGACAUUUUCAAAGUAGAU